AUUUCCUACCUUGUUGUGCUUAUGUAUUGAAUGAUUUUUCUAUAUUUAUGAAAUGAGUUGUUGUUCUUUAAUUAUUCUUGCUCUUUAAUGUUUCCAAAGGGAUUAUCUAACCCUAGGACUCACCCAUUAACUCCGAUUUAAUUUUGGGAAAGAUUAAUUAACAAGAACUUGAGGCGUUAACCCUCAUUUUAUAGAUUUUACAUAGGGAAUAGGAUUGAACUACUUGUAGCCUUGUAGGUGUGUUUAAUCUUCUAAUUGUGGUUAGGGAUAAUUCAAUUAGGAAGUCUUGUUAGUCUUCGGAAGAAGCUAACUAAGAAUUAUUAUCCGUGGCUAAUUAACAUAAACUCACGCNNNNNNNNNNNNNNNNNNNNNNNNNNNNNNNNNNNNNNNNNNNNNNNNNNNNNNNNNNNNNNNNNNNNNNNNNNNNNNNNNNNNNNNAUCAUGAAAUACAUUAGAUCGUUACUUGAGUGUAAUUCCCGAUGCUUUCAUACUUGUAGCCAUUGAUCAUUUUAUUUGCUUUCUAGGUUAGUUUACAUUUACAUAUCUUUGAUAUAAAAACAUUUUUCAAACCAAAAUUCUUAUUGUUUGGCACUACGCGACUAGUGAUAAUUCUCUUACAUUCCUAAUCGCCUACACGUUGUUCUCUGUGGAAUUCAACCCCGACUCAUAGUUGGGUAAUUAUAUUGCUGCAACCGUAUCUAUUGCUUUUUAGCGGUGGAUUUGGACGUCACUAGUGCACAAUGUCACCGGCAUCUAAGGCCAAUAACAAAAAUCAAUAUAAGUUGUGGUACGUGAACCACUCGAUCCCAAUCAUAAUAUCUCGUGGUCGGCGUGCCACAUGAUCCCAAUCAUAAUACCUCGUGGUCGGCUUGGCACAUGAUCCAAAACAUAACACCUCAUGGUCGGCGUGCCACACGAUCCCAAUCAUAAUACUUUGUGGUCGGCGUGCCACAUGAUCCCAUUCAUAAUACCUCAUGGUCGGCGUGCCACACGAUCCCAAUCAUAAUACCUUGUGGUCGGCGUGCCAUUUGACGACCCUUGUCCUUAUUGUGGUGGACCACACUCAUGGAUUAAAUUCUCCCGGAGGUGGAUUGUGCGCACAAUCUCAUCCCCAUGGUUGGAGUAUUUGUGAUAAGUGUGGUUGCCAAGGGAGUUGUUCAUAUUUUGACGACCCUUGUCCUUAUUGUGGUGGACCACACUCAUGGCAACAUUGUUUAAAUUCUGUCGGGGGUGGAUUGUGUGCACAAUCUCAACCCCAUGGUGGGAGUAUUUGUGAUAAGUGUCGUUGCCAAAAUGGUCAUUGGGAUUAUUGUGCAUAUUUGACCUUCCCUUCCCCAAGCCCCUACUAUGAUGAGUUUUCUUCUUGUGAUGAAAACUAUAGGGCUAUGGGAAAUGAAGAAGUUGAGCAACUCCUAAAUGGAGAGUUCUGACUCAUGUUGGAGUGUCUACUUGAAGAAGGAAACAAAGAGUAAAAUGCCUUGGGACAUCUUUUUGAGACUAGUCUCCAAAAUGAUUUGGCACUCCAACGAUUGCACUCACAAAUAGAGGAAAUGAUCGAAGCCUCAAGGGUUCAAAGAGCCUUGGAAGUGAAUGAAGACCAAAACCCUUCCUUGGAGAUUGAAAGUGAGAACCUUUUCUUAGCACUUGAUCAAAACCAAGAAGAGCUCCCAAAUGCUCAAAAUGAGAAAAUAAUGCCCUUGUUGGAGACCAUUCUUGAAAACGAGGAAAAGCACAACUUUUCACUCGAGGACUUGAAACAAAGCUUGGCGUACAAUGAGGAACAUAUCCGCACCUUGGAAAAUCAAAAGCAAGUAUUGAUUGAGGCUCACUAUGCCUAACAACUUGAGUGUGUGGAAGAGAGUCAAGAAGAGUCCAAUUCCAAGGAAGAGAGUGAGCUUUACUUUGAGGAGUCAAGAAUUGAACAUCCGCCAACAAUGAGUGUUAUUGAUGUUGACAAAAAUAUGGAAUUGGAGUCAACCGGUAAAAAUACAAUAUUGGUUUAUGUUGACUCUAAUCCGAGGGAAAGAGAGGAUAUCAAGCUAGAAAAAUUGCAAAGUGAGGGCUUGAAGUCACAUUCCAAGCACUUUUCAAUGUUGGAAUUGUGUGGUGACACGGAAGUUGAACCACAUGAAUCAAUGAAAGAGUGCGAGGAGGAAAAACUCAGGCCAUACAUUUUACAGUUUGAGGAAGCAAGAAAUUAAAACGACAUUCCUCACUUGAAAGCCAAGAAGUGCGAAAUGAAGAUUUUAGGCAUCAAAUUACCACCCCCAUCGCUCGUGGUCACAAGCUUGAUUCCAAGCUAGGUGCCCAAUUCAUAUCAUCCAAGUGGCGAGAAAAGUGGUCAUGUUGUUUGCGUCGUGCCACGACGUUAAAUGCAGAGCUUGGUGGGAUGCAACCCUUCGUUUUUCAAAAAUUUUCGUCAUUUUUGAAAUUUCUUUUUUAGAAUAGCUUAGAAAAUUAUUUUUGACUAAUCUACCAAGUGUUAGAUUUAUUGGAGUUGAUUUGAGCAGGCUGGGAUGACCUGGUUGGCAAAAUCCAGUAGUUGCUGGAAUUGUGUGGGAAAUCUCUGCUAAAACCGCUUCUGCGGUAUUUUGACCGCAUCUUUGGUACCGCAGAAGCAGAAAAUUCAACGCAAAAGCGGAGGCCACCGCAGAAGCGGCCAUUGGUUGCAUACGCGGAACCGCUGAAGCGACAAAAAAAUAGCUGAAGCGGAAAUUGCCCAGGUUUGAAAGAGAAAAAGAAGUUUAAACGGGUCAUUUUCCCAAAAAGCCCUCUGCUCCCACUGCCCUAAACCCCCCAAAAAAUGAACAAAUCUUCAAAAACUGAACAAGGUUGCUCAUAAUUCUUUCCAUAGCAAAAACUUCAGGUAAUAUCUUCCUUACCCUCUUCUCAUUCUUCAUCUCCCACUUCCCAUUCUAUAAAUGCAACUGAAUUUUUUUUUUGUGUUGUUUCAUGUCUUUUCUUCUUCCUUUUUAUUUUGAAUUCUUGUUGCUAUGUAGAAAGUGAGGAUUUGGUUGAGUAUAAAUGUGCAUGCUGUGCAAAUUGAAUGAAAUUGGGGGAAGUCUUGAGUACCCCAUUUUUGUGAAAGAAGGUCCAUCUUCACUCGCGCGCAAUGUGUUCGGCACAAUGCUUGAGUGAGAAUCUUGUGCGAAGUGGCACAACAUUAGUCUCAAUUGAAUCAUGUGCAAUUAAGUUGCUAAAUUCUUCUAUUUUGGGUGCCAAAUCUUUGAUUGAAGUUGAAAAAGAACGAAAAGUAACUGGCAGUGUGUUUCCUGAAGAAGAAGCACAGGUUCCGCAAAAGCGGAUGUUUCAACGCUUAAGCGAGACCGCUUUCGCGGUAAAAAUAUCACAAAAGAAAAAAAUUAAAAAAGUAAUAAAAUAAAAAUAGCAGAAGCGGUCGAAUGCCAACAUAAGCGGAACCGCCUCCGCAGCCCAAGUUCCGCAGAAGCGGAAACUACCCAGAAAUAGUAGAGGCAGUGUGUUUGCAACCGAGGCUUCCUGGGCCCGUUAAACCUUAAAUUUUUGUCUCAAAUGCAAUGUUUUGAAUUGCUUAACAUGAUUCAAUUGUCCGACUAAUUUUUUGGUGAUAUUUUGUAGGUGCUUUAAUUCAAAAAUGGACCCAAAUGCGAGCGGAUCGCACCGGAAAUUCAAGAAGCGGGUGAUGAGCUCUUUGAUGAUACGUGCUUCAUGUCUACUUCAGCGGAGCGCCGAUAUUUGGACGAGUAUGUCCACGAAAAGAUCUUGCUCGAAAGGAGGAUAAAUGAGGAGAAAUUGACCGAGAAGCUCCCGGACUUACAUGCUAGGCUAUAUACGUCCGGAUGGUCCUGUUUCAUUGCCACACCGUGCAAGGCCGAUGAGAUGUGGGUCCGUGAGUUCUAUGCCAAUAUUUGGCAUAAAAACUUUGUUGAUCUACAUAUCAUAAUCAGAGGACAGAUGGUGCGGUUUGGGGUGGAAUACAUCAACGAUACUCUUGGAAUCUCCAACUAUCCCGUGGAGCCGGCAAGCGAGAAAGAUCAUCGUGACAAUGGGAAGUGGCUUGUGUCCAAGCUUAUUACCCCAUAGUUGAGAGAGAAAUGGGGGAACAAACUAAAAGGGUUGAAAUCAAUAGACUUUACGACAUAUGCAAAGAGAUGGUUGCAUAUAGUGAGCAGCAUGGUAUGUUUGUGUGGGAACGUCACUGAUGUCUCCUACACCAGGGCUUUGAUCGUAGCAUGCCUCCUAGAUGGCAUACAGGUUAAUGUGGGGCACUACAUUCUUAAGGAGAUGAGGCGGUACGUGAGAGAAUACUCUAGAGAUAAGGAUGCAGUGUUGAUGUUUCCCUCAUUGAUUACGAGGAUAUGCUCCCGAGCUGAGGUUCCGUGCCUUUCCCUUUUGAGUAGCCAGCUCAACGGUACCUUGUCUAGCACUUCAAAAUUAGAAACCUUACUCUCUUUAAUUGUUCAUGAAUAAUGGUCUAACUUAGCCAAGUCAGUUAUGUUGUCCGCAUAAUGAAUCAUUAGAAUAGCCUAAACCAAAGUCCAUCGGGUUUCCUCGAAACCCAAACGGACAUUCACGUUAUGUGCAUUGAUUUGGAGAAUUAAAUGCCUUUGCUAAUUAUUGAUUUAAAUAGUUGAGUCCGGUGGGGUUAAGUGCCUAACUCUCUAUUUUGCAAGAAAAUGAGGCACGAGGUCCCCAGAUUCGGCAUGGUGUCAAACAUUCAUCAAAAGUUGCUAAGCUGGUGGGAUGAUUUGCAUGGUAGUGAUCGGGUUCUUNNNNNNNNNNNNNNNNNNNNNNNNNNNNNNNNNNNNNNNNNNNNNNNNNNNNNNNNNNNNNNNNNNNNNNNNNNNNNNNNNNNNNNNNNNNNNNNNNNNNNNNNNNNNNNNNNNNUGUGGAAGCUGCUACUAUGUUUUGGGAUAGUGAACGGUCCGUCUUCCGCUUUGGGGGUAUUGAAAUGACACUGUUAUUGGAAGAAAUUGGGGGUCUAGCCGGAAUUCCUUGGGAUAGCCCGGAUUUGCUUAUGCCGGAAAACCUCAAAGGUAGAGGGUGCUUGAAAAUGAUGGGGCUCAAGAAGAAUCCUAAUCUGACUAGUCUGAAAGACUCCUACAUAUCCUUCGACUUCAUGUAUGAAAGGUUCGGACAUAGCAAAAUCAUACCGCAAUCACAUGGACGAGUUCGCCCUCACCUCUUUGGGGCACAUACAUAGGAGGGCCUUUGUAUUCAUGUUUUGUUUUCUGGGCAUGAUAGUUUUUCCGAUAAAGAAGUCUAUAAUCCAUACAAGACUAGCCAUUGUGACCAAAGCUGUAAUGGAGGGUAUCGAGGGGCAGACAUUCAGCAUAGCACCUAUGAUCCUCGCCGAACUGUACCGAGCCUUAGAAAAAUAUCAAUAAGGGGCACCGCACUUUGAAGGGUGCAAUUUGCUACUACAGCUCUGGCUCAUCGAGCAUCUUCAGAAGGGAAUCUAUAGGCAAGAGAUUGUAUGACGAGAUUGGGAUGACCAUAUUGAUUUCCAUCAUCCAAAGCGAAUGCACUUUAUGCCGGAUAUGUUUGCUCACCAGGAAGAUGCCAGUGGAUGGAACUAUUAGGGAAUCUGAGAGAAUAGCAGGUACAAUGGAUGUACGAGUGGUUUCCAACUAAAGAGUUUAUCAUUCGGUCUAGGGAUGCACCAUUCCUUGUACUAAUCGGCUUAGAGGAACUUACCCUUAUGUCCUUCUCAAGGUAAUGAGGCAAGCGGGAAGAAAGCAGAUUAUAUCAAGGGUGGAAAAGAUGAGUUCCAGGAUGAUGAUAGCCCACACAGGUGUCAGGCUCAGCAUAUGUGGCUCUAUACCAAGGGUGGAAAAGAUGAGUCACUACAGGGCUGACUUCCAUGAUGAUGAUUGACCACACAGGUGUCGGGCUCAUCAUAUGUGGCACUCCAAAAUCAUUUUGGAAAAUGAAUCUAUGGAGCCAGACAAGUAUCAGGCGGGGCAUGCUCCGCUUUAUCAAGGGUGGCUAAAAGAUGAUCACACUGGCUUGGGAAGAACGAGUUUCGUCCAUGGUCACAGGGUUAUUGAUGAGGAGGCUGCAGCAAAGGUCAAGUAUAAUCAGUUGCGCAAGCGGAUGCGAGAGAGUGAAAGUGAACAUCGGGAAAUGCUAAAGGCUCAAGAGAAGGUAAUCAAUGAAUGGAAGGACAUGGUUGUCCAUGCAAACAAACGUUUAGGGUACUUGGAACGGGGUCUAGUGGAACUAGAAGGCAAGUUUCUGAAAAGGAUCAACGACUGUCAGGAAGCUGAAGGUAACGAAGCUGGGCACUUGGCUCGGGCUUACUUGUUACUGGGAGUGCACGAGCUGAUGAAACUGUACGAGGGAGGCAAAGAUACUGAAUCUGGGGAAGGUCUUUCUGGGACCAAGUAGUUAGGAUUUUACUGCUUUCCUGAUGUAAUAAGACCUUUGGCCAUUAGUGAAUUUUUCUUUAUGUCCGUUUGUUUUAACUCAUUCUAUUAUCUGUCAAUAAAAUUAGGCAUUUGGUAUUACGAGUUCUCCAAAUCAUAUUUGUCGCUACGCCUACCUCGGGCAUAACGAGGAACCCAAAUAGGAAACGACUUAUAUUCCUAUCUCCAAAUCAUAUUUUUCGCUAGGCCUACCUCGGACACAACGAGGCACCAUUAUAGGAAACGACUUAUAUUCCUACAAUAACAUGUUUAAAUACCGCAAUGUUUUCUUUCUCAGAAUCCGCACUAACUUUUUACCUUUUGUUUUUCCCCAAAUAGGAAACGGCUUACAUUUUUGCAACAACGUGUUUAAAUACUGCAAUGUUCUCUUUCUCAGAAUGCGCACUAACUUUUUACCUUUUUUUUCUUUUGUUUUUAUUCCCCUCCCCAAAUGUUAAUUUGUGCAUUCUGGCACCAUCAGCAUACUCAACAAGAUCAAAGGGUCCUCCUCCCCCGAGUCCUCCCAGAAACAGGAACAAACGAAAGAUGGGAGAUAAUGAAGCAAGGAAGGAAAUUGAAGGAACUUCUCAGGGUAUCCCGAUCACCAAAGAAACUGCUGCUCAAUUGGAGCAAACUCUGCUAAGAUUUCGAGAGGAGCUGGACCAGGUCCGGAGUUUGGCAAGCUUGUCCAUCUCCCUUACUGCUGCAGAUGUCAACAACCAGGUCCAUGCACCUCCGCAGAAGAUCACAACCCAGGUUCGCAAAAAUGCUCCACCCUCGUCCCAGAGCCCCAGAAUGCUCCAAACCACUAGGAUACCCAUAUAUUUGUGGAUACUGUGCCAUACUAUACACAUCCUAUAUCAGAUGUGUCAGAAUCAGACUCACUCAUUCAGAACUUGGCUGCUGAACUUAAGAACUCACUAGCAGGGUUCAAGGCGUGGAAGGUAAUAAAGGCGUGAAUGGUCUAAAUUAUGAAGACAUGUGUGUUCAACCUGAUAUCGAACUCCUAGAGGGGUACAAAACUCCUAAGUUCUAAAUGUUUGAUUGUACGGGUGAUCCCAGGGUUCACCUCAGGAUGUAUUGUGACAAGUUAGUGGGAGUCGGUAAUGAUGAAAAGAUUCGCAUGAAAGUGUUCAUGAGGAGCUUGUAAGGUGAUGCGUUAUCUUGGUAUAUCAUCCAAGAUGCGAAAAAGUGGACUAGUUGGGUAAACAUGGCUUUUGAUUUCAUGGAGUGUUUUAGGUUCAACACUGAGAACGCGCCGGGCGUGUUCUAUAUCCAGAAUUUGAAGAAGAAGCCUAUUGAAACCUUUCACGAGUAUGCUACUCGUUGGAGGUCGAAAGCUGCCAAAAUUAGGCCGGCUUUGGAAGAAGAAGAAAUGAACAGAUUUUUCAUUCGUGCUCAGGACCCACAAUAUUAUGAGAGAUUGAUGCUAGUAGAGGGGCAAAAGUUCGCUGAUAUCAUCAAAUUGGUAGAAAGAAUUGAAGAGGGGAUCAUCAAUGGCAUGGUUACUAACCUUGAGGCACUGCAGGCCACCAACAAAGCCUUGCAAUUUGGUGGUUCGUCGAAGAAAAAAGAUUUAAACUCCGUAUUGGCUACGCAAAGAAACCACUCUCCCAUGAAAUACCAACCCUACCCUCCAAGUCCACUCACACACCAACACUCUCUAAAUUACCAAGCACCUUUUCCUACCUAUAAAAAUCCACAUCCCGACUACCAAACAACUUCAUCACCAACAUAUCAUCCCAUCUCGCCAGUAUAUUCCCAACCCACACCCAUAUACCAAGCUUACAAUUCCCAACCUCCUCACUAUCCAUCACCUCCUACCCACCAAAACUUCCCACGACCAAGACCAAACUUUGACCACAAACCGCCCAAACAGUACACUGCUAUUGCUGAAACCAUUGACCAAUUGUAUGAGAAGCUCAAAGCCACUUGAUAUGUUACACCCAUCCCAGCCGUAACCCCAAAAAACCCCUCCCAAUGGAUCAACCCAAAUAAAACCUGCUCAUACCAUUCGGGGAUGAAGGGCCAUACCAUUGACGAGUGCCGCUCGUUAAAGGAUAAAAUCCAUACCUUAAUUGACAACAAGGUCAUCAUAGCUAAGGAUCCUACUCCUAAUGUUCGUAACAACCCUAUGCCAGACCACAAAGGUGGAGGCAUCCACAUGAUUGAGGUAGAAGACAACUGGGACCCCGAAUGGUCGAUUGGUUUGAUAUCUGAGGGAGAUGAGCCCAAGAAACUGGCGGUCACUCUUAAUCCUAUUGUUGUGCAAAUUCAUCUAUCUGAGGACAGCGUGGUGAAUAUAUCUAUACCAUUUGAGUUUGAGGCAUCUCCUGCAAAAGUGCCAAAACCAAUUGAGGUGGAGUUUCGGACUCCAAAGACGCCCGCACAAAAUCUAGCCAUUUGUGGACAACAUGGUGAAUAUAUCUGUAUCAUUUGAGUUUGAGGCACCUCCUGCAAAAGUGCCAAAACCAAUUGAGGUGGAGUUCGGCACUCCAAUGACGCCUGGACCAAUUAAAGUUGCUAUGUUGCCUCCAAGGGUGCCUAUUCCGGUCACCAUGUCGGACAUAACCCCAUUUUAGUCAAAUGCCAUACCCUAGGACUACACAGCCGAAGCGAGAAUGAAAGGAAAAGCACGCACAGGUGAAGCAGUUACCGCGUAAGGUAUGACUAGAACAGGCAGGGUAUACACACCAGAGCACAUAGCUGAGUCCUACAAGCAGGCGUUUGGGCAUCCCAUUGAAACAGGAUCCGAUGAUCUCUGGAGAAAGAUAUAGGCUAAGGAAUAUUCAGUUUUUGAACAGCUAAACAAGACUCCGACGCAGAUUUCCAUCUUCGCAUUGCUGGAAUUUCGAGGUGUAUGAGAAUGCCUUGACAGAGAUAUUGAGCGAGGCUUAUGUCCCGAGCAAUAUAACAAGAGGAGAAAUGCGAACAUGAUAGGACAGGAUUGGAAAGUCACAAAAUCACUUUCCACAAGGAUGAAUUGCCACCUGAAGGGCUCAGUCAUAACAAAGCACUACACAUCACUGUGCAAUGCGAGGAUCAUUUCAUCAUGAGAAUCUUAGUCGAUGGAGGUUCCAGUCUCAAGAUUUGGCCACUGAUCACCCUCAAGAAGUUAGGAAAAGGAUUGCAUGAGAUAAAAGAUGGAGCUAUUAAUGUUAAGGCUUUUUACGGUUCUUAUAGGUCCACUCUCGGGGAGAUUAGCCUGUGUUUGCAAAUAGGGCCCACUUAGUUCUAUGUUGAUUUCCAGGUCAUCGACAUACCAACAUCUUACAACUUACUGCUGGGACGACCCUGGAUCUACGCCGAUGGGGCAGUAGCAUCAACCUUACAUCAGGCUGCGAAGUUCAAAUGGAACCAUCAGGAAGUAAUCAUCCAUGGUGACGGCAGCAACCCCAUAUACAGUCGCCAGACCAUUCCAAUGAUCGGAGGCAGAAGGAGAAUUGGCGGAGAAACAUAUCAUCAUAUUGAACGGGUCAACGCAGUGGACAAGGACAAAUAGUGGAGCAACAAGGUUGAGAGAAUUCUUAAUUUGAGUGGGCAUGAACCAGUGAAAGGACUUGGUAAAAAUCUUUAGGGCAUCACCAAACCUAUCCAGUUGAAUAAGCAUGGUACUACCUUCGAACUAGGGUACGAGUACACUUGGCAGGAAUUCAAAAACUGGUCACCCCCAUAGCGUGGCCCAUAUUACCCAUUGGAAUACCCCAUACCUCAGUUGGAGCAAAUAUUUCAGCCAGCUGACACUCUCUAUGGGUUAGAAGAAGACGAGGCUCUUGCAGCAAUAAAGAACAUGUUUCUAAAGGAGGACAUAGAAUGUUGUGUGAAUUUUGAAGAGGAAGGGGAGGAAUGCCCUUCCAUUCAGGCUGUGAACCGAGGGGAGCACCUCACCAAUUGGUCAAUCAGGACCAUCAUCGCUCGAAAAUCUUUGGGGUAGAAAGGCUAAACAAGCAUCAUGCAUCUUUGGUUUUAGUAGUUUUCUUUACUUCCAGCAUUGUCUUUACUUUCCAAAAGAGCUCCGAUGUUCUGAACAUUUAUGAAUUUAAUUUUAUCAAAUAUCUUGCUAUUCAUUACUUUUCUCGGCUAUUUGCUUUAUUUUCCACACAGCAUUACUAUUACGUAUCUUGAUGAUGAACCGACAACUGUAAUUUGCAACGAGGCUAUGCAACAAGUGGACAUAGACUCAGGAGGAUGAUAUGCCAGAAGAAGUUGUCAGAGAGGCUGAGAAUUUUGAAAAUAAAUGUAAGUCCAACUUGAAAUAAAAUCGAAGUAGUCAAUUUGGGAGAUAUAGAAAAUGUCAAAGAGGCGCGCAUCAGUGUGCGCUUAUCACAGACAGAAAAGGAAAAAUAUAUAGUGUUCUUAAGGUAAUAUGAGGAUAUAUUCGCAUGGUCUUACGACGAUAUGACUGGCUUCAGCACAUCCAUCGUCGCUCACAAGUUGCCAAUAGAUCCUGCAUGUCCGCCGGUAAAAUAGAAGCUUAGAAAAUUCAGGCCACAUAUGAGUUUAAAAAUCAAGGAGGAGGUCACCAAGCAGAUCAAAGCCAAAGUUCUUCAAGUGGUAGAGUAUCCAACUUGGUUGGCUAACAUCGUGCCAGUACCAAAGAAGGAUGGGAAUGUUAGAGUUUGUGUCGACUACCGGGAUCUCAACCGGGCCAGUCCCAAAGACGAUUUCCCCUUGCCAAACAUACACAUUCUGAUCGAAAACUGUGUCAAGAAUGAAUUGCAGUCAUUCGUCGACUUCUUUGUGGGGUACCAUCAGAUAUGGAUGGAUAAGGAAGAUGCAGAGAAAACAUUGUUUGUCACGCCCUGGGGAAUGUAUUACUACAGAAUGAUGCCGUUCGGGUUGAAGAAUGCGGGAGCUACUUACAGAGUGGGUCAAGGUUCGCUACGAACAGUUAGCCUUCAUAGAUGGAAAGAGAAUGAACGAUGUCUGUCACGGUCAGUUAUAUCAUAACAGAAUGGCUAGACCCUUCAACAAGAGAGUUCGACCGAGGAAGUUUACACACCAGGGUAGCUGGUGUUGAAAAAGAUAUUUCCACAUCAAGAUGAGGCCAAAGGGAAGUUCUCUCCCAACCGGCAGGAUCUGUACAUGGUUCACCGUGUUCUAACUAUAGGAGCCCUUAUUCUUGCAGAAAUGGAUGGAGAAAUCUGGCUAAAACCGAUCAACUCAGAUGGAGUGAAGAGAUAUUACAUUUGAUCAUUGUGCUUUCCUUUAUGAUGUAAUUUAAACUACGCCCGACCUGAUUCUAGUUUAAGAGAGGAUACGUAGGCAGCCCAAUGGGUUCGAUCACAUCUCUAAUAAAAUUCCAUUUUCCCCCGCAUUUGGAACUGGGCAGAAUUUUGAGGAGGACCCUCAAAAUUCUGAAGUCAGCUUGUCAAUUUUCGCAUCAGCAUCGACCUAGUAAACUGAGGCAGAAUUUUGAGGAGGACCCUCAAAAUUCCAAGGUCAAUCCGCUUUUAGUCAUUUAGCACCGCUGUCAAUAGCGCCAGCCGAGUAAACCGGGGCAGAAUUUUGAAGAGGACCCUCAAAAUCUUGGAGACGGCGAGGUUGUCGUGCCUUGAACCACGUUGCAGUUGUGGUUCAUCAUAAAACAAAUUGUCUUCUCUUUACUUAUAUAUGUACAUUGGCAUCAUGUUUGCCAAAUUUUGCAUAAAAUAAUUUGGAUUACUAUCGUUCAACAAUGCUACCCCAAAUGGUACAUGACGCCACGAGCAAAAGAAUACGAACUAACCUCCCGCUUUUACAGAACUCACGAUUUUUCUUUGGAUGAAGGACACAAGCCAGUAACGCAACUGUUCCUCGGAGUCAAAAUUCCCAAAACGGCCCCUACUUCGCAGAAGUUUACUAUCUACAGGCAGAAGUUUCCCUAGCAGUCACAAUAUCACAAUCAUCUACCAGCUAAGCAAACGCUACUAUCUUCCCCGUUAUAUUCUCGCAUUGCAUAAGGCUAUUCUCUGCCUUUUGAGGUUAAGCUCUACCUCCUUCCAGCAUAAGCUAUUCUCUACCUUCCGAGGUUAAGAUCUACCUCCAACCUGCAUAAGGCUAUUCUCUGCCUUCCGAGGUUAAGCUCUACCUCCAUCCUUUAAAGGCUAUACUCUACCUUCCGAGGUUAAGCUCUAUCUCCAUCCUGCAUAAGGCUAUUCUCUGCCUUUUGAGACUAAGCUCUGUCUCCAUCUUGCAUUUUGCAUAAGNNNNNNNNNNNNNNNNNNNNNNNNNNNNNNNNNNNNNNNNNNNNNNNNNNNNNNNNNNNNNNNNNNNNNNNNNNNNNNNNNNNNNNNNNNNNNNNNNNNNNNNNNNNNNGACUUCAAACUUGAAAUGAAUUCACUUGCAUAAGGCUAUUUUUUGCCUUUAGAGACUAAGCUCUGUCUCUAUCUACAUUUCUUGCAUUGCAUAAGGCUAUUCUCUUCCUUCCGAGGUUAAGCUUUACCUCCAUCCUGCAUAAGGCUAUUCUCUGCCUUCCGAGGUUAAGCUCUACCUCCAUCCUGCANNNNNNNNNNNNNNNNNNNNNNNNNNNNNNNNNNNNNNNNNNNNNNNNNNNNNNNNNNNNNNNNNNNNNNNNNNNNNNNNNNNNNNNNNNNNNNNNNNNNNNNNNNNNNNNNNNNNNNNNNNNNNNNNNNNNNNNNNNNNNNNNNNNNNNNNNNNNNNNNNNNNNNNNNNNNNNNNNNNNNNNNNNNNNNNNNNNNNNNNNNNNNNNNNNNNNNNNNNNNNNNNNNNNNNNNNNNNNNNNNNNNNNNNNNNNNNNNNNNNNNNGCUAUUUUCUGCCUUUCGAGACUAAGCUCUGUCUCCAUCUGCAUUUCUUGCAUUGCAUAAGGCUAUUCUCUACCUUCCGAGGUUAAGCUCUACCUACAUCCUGCAUAAGGCUAUCUACUGCCUUUCGAGACUAAGCUCUGUCUCCAUCUUGCAAUUUGCAUAAGGCUAUUCUCUGCCUUCCGAGGUUAAGCUCUACCUCUAUCCUGCAUAAGGCUAUNNNNNNNNNNNNNNNNNNNNNNNNNNNNNNNNNNNNNNNNNNNNNNNNNNNNNNNNNNNNNNNNNNNNNNNNNNNNNNNNNNNNNNNNNNNNNNNNNNNNNNNNNNNNNNCUUCCGAGGUUAAGCUCUACCUCCAUCCUUGCAUAAGGCUAUCUUCUGCCUUUUGAGACUAAGAUCUUUCUCCAUCUUGCAUUGCAUAAGGCUAUUAUCUGCCUUUCGGGGCUAAGCUCUGCCUCUAUCCUGCAUAAUGCUAUCUUUCGCCUUUCGAGACUAAGCUCUUUCUCCAUUUUGCAUUGCAUAAGGCUAUCUUCUGCUUUUCGAGGUUAAGCUCUACCGCCUUUAUUUUGCAUUUUGGCUGAAAUAUCGCCACCCUAUUUCAUUUUGGCUGAAAUAUCGCCACCCUACAGUUUAAAAUUCUUCUCGGCUGAAAGAUCGCCACCCUCUACAUUCAUUCGGCUUCAAACUUGAAUGUAUUCUCAUGCUCUCCAGACGGGCUCCUGAUUCAAAAAUAGACAAAACAAAGAAUUUGAAAGCUGAAGCUUAAAUUGUACUCCCUUAUUCUUCAGGCUGGCUCCUGACUUCUGCACUUAAUGUAUUCUCAUGCUAUCCAGGCGGGCUCCUAACUUCAAACUUGAAAUGUAUUCCCUUGCUAUCCAUGCUAGCUCCUGACUUCAAAAAUAGAUAAAAUAAAGAAUUUGAAAGCUGAAGCUUAAAUUGUACUCCCUUGUUCUCCAGGCGGGCUCCUGACUUCUGCGCUUAAAUAUAUUCCCAUGCUAUCCAGGUGGGCUCCUGACUUCAAACUUGAAAUAUAUUCUCAUGCUAUCCAGGCGGGCUCCUGACUUCAAAAUAGACAAAAUAAAGAAUUUGAAAGCUGAAACUUAAAUUGUAUUCCCUUGUUCUCCAAGCGGGCUUCUGAUUGUUGCGCUUGAAUGUAUUCCCAUGCUAUCCAUGCGGGCUCCUAACUUCAAACUUGAAAUUUAUUCUGAUGCUAUCCAGAUGGCCUCAUGACUUUAAAAAUAGACAAAACAUAGAAUUUGAAAGCUGAAACUUAAAUUGUACUCCCUUGUUCUCCAAGCGGGCUCCUGACUGAUGCGCUUGAAUGUAUUCCCAUGCUAUCCAGGCAGCUCCUGACUUCAAACUUGAAAGUACUCCCAUGCUAUCCAGGCAGGCUCCUGACUUCAAAGUAGACAAAACAAAGAAUUUGAAAGCUAAAACUUAAAUUGUACUCCCUUUUUCUCCAAGUGGGUUCCUGACUUCAAACUUGAAAUGAAUUCCUAUGCUAUCCAGGCGGGCUCCUGUCUUCAAACUUGAAAUGUAUUCCCAUGUUAUCCAGGAGGGCUCCUGACUUCAACAAAUCAUACAAAAACAAGGAAACUUUUCUACCCCAGUUUGGUAGCUGGGCACGUGGGUGAGUGUUAUUGAAUCAUAAACCAACUAUUACUAAGAAUUUGAAAGCUAAGUCCUAUUAUCCAGGGAGGUCCUGAAAAUUCCUAACAAUUACGAACCUAAGUUAUAUCUUCUAAACUAUUACUAUCGCUACAUCAUGUCAUCUACAAGAAUUUUAAACUACAUCCUAUUAUCCAGGAAGGUCCUGACCAACCUACUUGAAUUUUAUCUUAAACAUGCAAACUUUCAUUCUCGUAUGUUAUUCAUGAAUGUCUCAUACCACACUUUGCGGUCAAACCAUAUUACUGCUUGUUUUUCCCUCAUGGAGAAUUCCCCCAAAACAAUCGACUUUUCCUUCCAUGUUUUAAUAAAAGAAAAUUUUGUCAGUUUAAAAUGGUGGUUAGUUGAUGGCAAUCUUGCUGAAAAUCCUUCCACCGUAUUGCUUUGUUUUGACUGGCUUCCUCGAACUGGCCUUGAACAGCUUCUGACUGUAUUUCAAAUUCCCUGAUUUUUAACAAUCCGAGUGUUCUGUACUCCUGAUGUUGUUUCGCACCUCUAACCCCUUUAUCUGACCUUUUACAUCUCCCACGAUAUUUCCAAAUCAUUCCACCGAUGUUUACAUACUUUAACCACAUCGUGCUUUACACUCUCCGAAAUUCGGUAGUUAGUUUUGAAAUCCCCCUCCACUUGCAUUGAACAAAACUAACAUUGAAACAUCUUAGACAUAUACCCUCCCCCNNNNNNNNNNNNNNNNNNNNNNNNNNNNNNNNNNNNNNNNNNNNNNNNNNNNNNNNNNNNNNNNNNNNNNNNNNNNNNNNNNNNNNNNNNNNNNNNNNNNNNNNNNNNNNNNNNNNNNNNNNNNNNNNNNNNNNNNNNNNNNNNNNNNNNNNNNNNNNNNNNNNNNNNNNNNNNNNNNNNNNNNNNNNNNNNNNNNNNNNNNNNNNNNNNNNNNNNNNNNNNNNNNNNNNNNNNNNNNNNNNNNNNNNNNNNNNNNNNNNNNNNNNNNNNNNNNNNNNNNNNNNNNNNNNNNNNNNNNNNNNNNNNNNNNNNNNNNNNNNNNNNNNNNNNNNNNNNNNNNNNNNNNNNNNNNNNNNNNNNNNNNNNNNNNNNNNNNNNNAAAAAUAAAAUGCAAUGAUUUUACGAGGUAAGGAUAGGAAGGAUCCAAAACCGGAUGAUUGCUAAAAGAGAAGGAAAAGAAACUUAUCUGACCAGAAUAGCUGGCAUCAAUGGUCAUGACAUGCACUCCGGACUAGUCGGACCAAUCUGUCCAAUUAACCAGCUCUUGGUCGCCACACGUUGUUGCUCCUGAAUCUUCAUCACUUGAUUACUUUACCCAAACCUUAGCCUUGUUCAUCCUGCGGUACCUCAAAACAGUUUUCCACCAGCACACCUCUCUUAUUUGUUCAUUUCUUAAUUCACUCUUGCCUCAAGGUGCCCGCGAGGGUUUUCACCAAUAAGACUCUCUCAUUUUUAUUUCUCUCGGCUUCCGUCGCCUUACAGUGCCCUUGAGGGUUUUCACCAAUAAGACUCUCAUUUUUUUAGUUUUUCCUGCUUGGACCAGAGUGUUGUCCUAGACAUGAAUUUCCUUUACUUACUUGAUUUGUCAUUUCUCAAAGAUUGAUCAAAAGUUCUUUCUUUGAACCGUAAUCUGGGUUUUUGAACGGUGUUAGAAAGAAAGGGAACAAAAGGCUCAAAAACAACUCAAAAUUGGCUAAAACUACAACUUUUGGAAUUAUAUCUUUCCAAAACAAUCACAACUUCUACCCCAGUUCUUGCUUGAGGAAUUUUAGAUUUUAUUUUGGUAUGACUGAACCUCGGAGGAAGGCUGCCUACGUACCCUUUUGGGAUCAAGCCAAACGUAGUUCACGUCAUAAAAAUUAAUUUGUGGUGAUUUUUCUUUCUUCUUUUCUUUUGUUUUUCUUUUCUUAUUUUUCCUUUCUUUUUCAUUUUUCUUUUCUUUCUUUCUUUCUUUUAUUUUUUUUCUUCUCUUCUUUUCAGUUUUCCUUUUCUUUUUCUUUACCUUUCUUUCUUUUUCUUGUUAUUUUUCUUUCUUUCCUUUUCUCUUUUCUUUCUUUCUUUCCUUUUCUCUUUUCUUUCUUUCUUUCCUUUUCUUCUUUUCUUUUCUUUUCUUUUAUGUACUCAUCUUCGGCACUUGCAUUUCUUAUUUGUGCCAUUGAUUCUGAAAGAGGGGUAUAAAAGAAAAUAAACACGGUUCAAAAUGGGUAACAAAGGAUAAAGUGUUUCAGAUAGCAGAACAAAAUGCCUUUGUCAUUUCAAUCUUCAAAAAACUCCAACUACAAAAUAAGUACAAUCAAAAUAAAGAAAUCAUACAGAGUACCUCUUGACCACAUCGGAGUUGAUGGCUAUUUCUACACAUUUUCCUUCCACAUCUGUUAGGUAUAAUGCAUCAUUAGAAAACACUCCGGUUACAACAAAUGGCCCCCUAAAAGUUUGGGGCACAUUUCCCUUUUUUCUUCAGUCUGGUGAGGCAAGAUACGUCUCAGCACUAACUGUCCGACUUCAAACUUACUCGGACGCACUUUCUUUUUGUACGCUCUUGCCAUUUUUGUUGGUACCAUUGGCCAUGACACACUAAUGCUAAUAUUUUUUCAUCAAUCAAACUCAAAUGUUCAAGGCAGGUGAAAUCGUCAUCAUGUUCCAACUCAUUAUCACACUCAAUUUCUUGUAUUAUUACUUUAGAAAAAGAUCGGCCUUCAAGACUGGGUAUAGGAUUCCUCAUGCGUGUCAUGUUAUUGAUAUCAACCUAAAAAGAACUGUACAGAGAAGAAAAACAAACUGAAACAAAAUUAAGAAUGAAGAAAGAAAGAAAGACAAUUGCAUUUCAUUGAAGGAAAAUAUAACAAGGAUUUAACUCAUCCAAACGGACGGAACACAGUAUCUGGACUAUAGACUUUGGAAUAAUCCAGACAACUUAAAGAGAAACAAGACCCACUACCAAGACUUCUAGUCAUUGAGUUUUUCCCAUGGUCAGACGAACUGCACAUUUACCUUUCUUGACCCUCCCUCAUCUUCAACCAUGUUUACCUCAGUGAAUAAUCCUUUGAACUCCUUUCCCACGUCUCCAUCCGUACCACUCAAUGACCCAAGAACCUUUGACGACAGCGGCUUGUUAUCCCCCCUUUUAACUGAAAUACCACUUUCUCAUUGAUUGACUCUUCAUUCAAAUUGGCUUAGCUAGAGCGGAUUACCCUCUGUGAAGGUUUCUUAGGCUUCCCUCCCCUAUGCAUCAAUUCAAUCACAUGAGCCUCAUGGUGAGCUGGCAGCAGAUUCUGGUUAAUGUUUGGUGCCUUUGGGGCCUAAACCUCAAUUCGUUUAGUGUCAAUAAGCUCUUGCACAGCCGUUUUCAGUUUCCAAUAUUUUUCAGUAUCAUGCACGGGGACUCCCGGACAAUAUUCACAACUCAAUGACUGGUCCAUAUUUCUAGGAAGGGGAUUUUACACAUUGGUCUCAAUCGCGGUCAGCAGGACCAGCUGUCUCAAUUUGUGGAAAAGACUAGUAUAUGACUCCCCCAGCGGAGUGAAUGUUUUCUACUUUUGUACCUUUUCAUUGCGGAAGGCUUGAGUCCCACAGAAACCAGGCCCUAGAGUAUUUCUGUAAGCCUUUGGGGAUGGAUAUGUGUUUCGUGGAGGUGGGUAUGUGUUUUGGGGAUCCGUUGCACGCCAUUGCACAUGAGCCGAAGGCUGGGUAUAAGCUUGAGCAUGGUGAACAGAAAAAUGUGGGUCUGGCAGUGGGUAGUGGUGUUGUGGAGGGUUAUAUGGGGUGUAAGGAUAAUUUUGGUAGUGGGGUCGGGGUUGGUUGUAGUUGGGUGAUGGGCUUCUAGAUCCGAACCAAGCUGCGGACUCAAUAGUUGAAACCUCUUCUUUCUUCUUCUUUCCUAGCAUACCCCCAGUGCCGCUUUAGAUGGCCUGGGUGAUUACUUUAAUCACUUAAUAGCUCAUGAUUUUAUCGUAUUUCAAUCUUUCCUCAACCAUAGCUCCCAUCUUCACCACUUCAUUAAAAGAUUUGCCAUUCGCCAUCACCAGGUGACCAAAACAAGUCGGCUCCAGAGCUUGUAAAAAGUAGUCGACCAUCUAUCUUUCUUUCAUCGGGGGGUCGAUCCUCGCAGCAUGUUCUCUCCAGCGGAACUCAUACUCCUAGAAACUUUCUCCUCGCUUCUUUUCAAAUUUUAUCAGUGACAGGCGAUUUGGAACAAUUUCUAGAUUGUACUGAAAAUGGUAGACGAACUCUUGUGCCAAGUCGUCCAUGGUCCUGUUGUGCAUAACACUCCAAAGCAGACCCACUUACACUCUGACUAAAGUACACCAUCACUACUUCAUCUUUCCCACUGACCUCUCUCAUUUUGCUGCAGAAUCCCCUCAGGUGGGCCACCGGGUUACCAUGCCCGUCUACAUAUCAUAUUUUGGCAUUUUGAACCAUGCGGGUAACUAAACAUCCGGGAAUAGACACAAAUCUUUAUAGGUCACAUUGACUUGGGCACCCAACCCUUUCAUGUUCCUGAAGGACUGCUCCAGGCUUUUUACUUUUCGAAUCAUCUCUUCCUUCUCCGGCUUUUUAAGUGGCUUUUCAGUUUCCACCGGGAGCUCAAAGUGAGGGGUGUAAGAAUAUAGCUCAGGAACCUUAAAUGUAGGCUCGAGAGGGUAAUACUAAUAAUUGUGAGCCUGAAACAGUGGCUCAUCGGAGGAUCAUUUCAGUUUGGUAGGUGGAGGUGCCACAAAGACAGGGUUGAUUGGUGGAGGAGGGUUUUGUUUGGGUGGUAGAGCUUGAGGAGGGUAUGAGGUGGUGUCGUGACUCUAUUGUUAGAAAGGAAAAGCCGGAGAUGAAUUCACAGUAGGAGGCUCCUAAGAGUUUGUUAACGGUGGGAGUAGGCUGGAUUGGCAUGAUAAACUGGAACCGACUGACCCCUAGACCAAGCCUGAUACAUUUCAGUCAUUUGUUGCCUCAACUUAUGCAUUUCUUCCCUCAUUGCAUUAACAUCCAUCACCUUUACCUCUUUUGUCGGGUCCACAAUACUGGUAUCGGAUUCUUGGCCUAUCAUUUUCAGCUUAUUUUUUGAUCGAGUGUUGUAGAAAUGGGUUGCCAGAAUGCCAAACAACUAACCACCUGCGUGGACUCAACAUCAACAAUAGCUUGGUUAAUGGUUAGGGCAUUAGUAGAUUUGAUAACCGCACGUUGGGGAAUGAAUGUACCUAAGCAAUUAACGGAUUAUAUUAUUGCUCGACUGCUUGCAUCAUCCCGGCUUUUACUUCUAAUGGCAACUUUCUUUCUUUUGGUUUCUCUUUUUGUUUCUUCUUUUUUUUCUUUCUUUUCUCUGUUUUUUCCCUUACCUUUGUUUUCUCUUUUCUUCGGUUAUCUCGUUCCCUCAAUUUCUUAUUUUCUCUCUUUUCUUUCUUGUUUAUCCGCUCUAUUCUUUUUCUUUUUCUCCUCUCUUAUUUUCUUUUCCUUUUUCAUCUGGUUGCGGUCGAAUCCUAUGAAGAUUGCCUAUGUAUCAUGACUCCCAUGAAUCAGACCGGGCGUAGUUCGCUAAGAUAAAAGUUAAAAACAACAAUAAAACAUAUUUUGAAACUUCUAGUUUUUCACAGUAAAACAAACAUUGAUUACAAUGAUUUAAAAACCGACAAACUUAAACAAAACUAACAGACUCUGACAAAAAGAAGUAAUACAGACUCGAAAAUCAAACAACUCACAUACUCUAAUCAAAACAAAUACAAAUUCAAAAACAAACUGACUGAUUCCUUCUCUUAUAUGCCAAUUUUAACCAAAUGGCCAUUUUUGCAAACGUGGCCCCUUCUCAAUUUCACAUGAAUUUUGAGGCUGGGAAGAAUUAUUUAAUGACACUUCACAAACUUCUCCGUUCUUUUAUGAAAAUAGCCUUUCGACAACUGAAAGAUACUCUAAGGCUAUCUCGGCAAGAACGAUUUAAGACACUGCCGAAGAUGGCUCGGCUUAUUUUAACAAAAAAUUCAAGCGUUAUUCACUUGACCUCUAAUUCUUUUCUUAGUUUUCAAAUUAAAAAAAAGACUUAGUUUCACGAUCACGGCCUUUCAGCACCUCGAGAACGAAGAUUUUAAUGUUGCGUUUGCCAACCGGCCAAAACCUUGAAAACUGACCAAAAAGUGACUGUUCUUGCAAAAGCAGCCUUCCGGUGCCCUCUUAGGGACAUUCGGCUAUUUCUGACAAGAAUGACUUCAUCUGACUUAUUUAUGCCAAAAUUUAAAACUUGGACAUUUUUUGGCUAUUUUUGCAAAGGGAAGGUUGGACCCGAUGAAGGUUGCCUACAUAUCUCACAUCCGGUGAGAAUCAAACCUGCGUAGUUCGGGCAAACUAACCGAACUAUUUUAAAACAUGACUCUUUUUCAUUAUUAUUUUUGGCAUUUCAAAUAAAAAAAAACUACUUUUAAAAACAAGACUCUUUUUUUCUUUCUUUUUCAACAAACAAUAGAACAGCCUAUUUUUUCAAACUAAAAAAAAAGACUUUUUUUUUCUUUUUCAAUAAAACAACCUAUUUUUUAAACUAAAAAUAAAAGACUCUUUUUCUUUUUCAACAAACAAGAAAACAACCUAUUUUUCUUUUUCCGUUGGCCAAUAAGCUAUUUAAAAACCAAAAAUCAAGACUCUUUUUCUUUUUCAUUUUCCAUGGCAAAACAAACUAUUUUUCCUUUUCCAUUUUUGAAAACAAGAUAAACUAAAAUAAAAGACUCCUUUUCACUUUUUUUUUUGCUUUUCUGAGUAAGGCAAACAAUUUAAACAUAAAAUAUUUUCUUUUCCAUUUUUCAAAAUUUCGGCAGAGUUUCGACAAUAUUUGGGCAUUGUUUUUUCUUUAUAAAUUGAGCAAUUAACUCUUUAUACUACUAUUUCUCUCUUUUUCUCAAUUUUCUAAUAUUCCCGAGAUUUAGAAGUCGGUCAACAUACGGGCCCGAAAUAAAUGCACAAAAAACAAGUAGGAUGCAUCAGGAUGGUCUUUUCAUUUCAGGUUGCUUAUCCUAGACGGACUCAACCCCCGUGUUGAGUCCCCCAAGUCAAAAUGCACAUGAUGCAGAUAAGCGUUCCUACUAGGGAUCCGACAUGAAGUUGUAUUAUUCUAGGUUCAAAACCUGGUAUUUGUUCUAAACCUGGCUUACCCGAGCGGACAGCUCAAGCCGAGAGGGUGGCAGCGUACCGAGAAUAUAGAAGCUUCACUGGCUUUGCAACUUAUCCGAACCUCGUUCUAAAAUUGGAGUAGACUCUAUGAAGAAAAGAAGUCACACAAAGUGCACCAUUCUUCAUGAUUUAGAAGACUCAGAUAGGAGAUAGGUUUCGACACGAUUUAUAUACAGUCCACGAAAUAUCAAAGCGGUAAAAACAAUCAAUUAGUACAUUAGGCACAUAUCAUGUAAUAAAAUCAGAUAAAGCCAAACACAAUAAUUUAUCUAAGCUCAAUUCUUGAACCCUAAGCAAAAUGUUCUGGGUUCUUGUCCCCAGCAGAGUUGCCAGAGCUGUCACACCUCCUUUUUCACUACACCCGCAAGGGCGCAAAAGAGUUUUUCCAUUUAAAGGACAAUCGGAACAGAAUUUAUUAUUAAUAUUCAGAGUCUCCACUUGGGAGAUUAAUGGUGUCCCAAGUCACCGGUUGAAUCCCGAACAGAAGAAAAUAUGACUCUGUAAACACUACGCGAACUAGAAAUCUGAGUAAGGAAUUUUGUUAACUCGGGAGAAGGUAUUAGGAAUUACCGGGUUCCGUGGUUCUAGCACGGUCGCUCAACUGUCCUGUUUAGCUUAUUUAUUUGAUUUUAUUACAUGAAUAACCUAUGUGCCAAUUUUACUUUUAACCGCUUAUUAUUAAUUUUUUAAGAAAGUUAAACGUCGUUUAAAACGUGUCUUUGGAUUGCAUCACAUGAAAUGCACCCGCAAUCCUAAACACACUUUAUUCAACGUUUUGGGAUUUGAUUUGGGUCACAUAAAAUACACACCCGAGUUUAGGAAAGUAUUUUUAUUAAAAUCAUGCUUAAAGAGGCUAACGCGUUAUUAUCUUUGGGGAAGGCCAUGAAAUUUGCUAAGCUGUCUAUCCCGAAAUUUAAGUAUUUUAAUUCAAUCAUUUAUUGAGAGUCCUGCAAUUUAUUUAUUUUGUUUGCGAGGCUCAUAUCAUUUUUUAUUUAAAAGGGAAACCUAAAAACAACUAUGAUUUUUCUAUUUUGUUUAUCUCUAAAAGUAAAAUAAAGGUCCUAAUUAAUUGUUAUUGAGGAAUUUCAUAGUCUAUCAAGCACUAAUAGACCAAAUUCCAUUUCAGCUUUAGGUCCAAAGAACCCAAUCCAUAUGUGGGAUAUGUGUUCUUAACAGGCUCAAGUGUUGGGCCUAAGACAGGCCCAAGCUGGAAAGGGCAGAAACAGGCUGCAUGUUGAGGGAUCGAAUCCCAGAAACCACUUUUGCAUGACUUUAUUUUGAAUUCAUGUUUCAUUCAAUUCGAAUUAUAGGAUGCAGACUAUUUUAUGUAUCCAUCUACUAAUGAUUCCUAUAUAUUAUUAAAGAUGAUGAUCAUAUUGGAGACAAGGAUUCGAACUGAAUAACAGUGAUAGCUACUUGAUUGCCUUAUUUCAUUUAACACAUGGACAUGAGUAGGUUAAUGCUCCCAAACUCAAACUAGCUGCUUCUAAACUAACUCGAACUAAAUUUGCUCACUCAAGUGAUUUGGUAUUUUGAGAAGAGUUGAACCGUGGGGAUUAACUACAUGAGAUAUAACACUAACUAAACUUGUUUUUAUAACUAUUGAAAACAAAUAAGCUCUUAAGAACUGAUAUUAAAACCAACAUUGAUCACUUAUAUUUGAGAUCUGACGUUACUUACUAAUAUUAUUCAAAUUAACAACACUCACUCAAAUGACUCACGAUCUCAUAAUUGAACCAUUAAACUAGCCUACCGAAACAUAUCAGGGAAUAAUUAUACAGUCCAGUUAAGUACAUUCAAAAGUCAUAAUUAGGCUACAAAUUCAGCAUUUAACUAACUACUGCUAUAUCCAGACAAACAUGGCUUCUAGGGACAAACGACUCUACAUCUUUAUUGCAUUUCUAUUUCAACACGACAUCACAUCAGAUUUGAGAUAGUGGAUCGGAUGAUUGGAAUAUAAGAAGAAGGAGGAGGAGGAGGAGGAGGAGGAGGAGGAGGAUGAGGAGUCAGCAGUAGGUCGCAGCAACACUGAACGAUUACGACUCGACAUCACCAUAAUAGUUUUAAAAAACCAGCAAUGAUCUACAACCAAACCCAAUUAACCCAGUAACAAACUUAAACAACAGUGAGAAAGUUUUAGAAACCAACAACAACUAUAAAUAUCCACAAUUAACCCAACUAAACUCGAAUUAACCCCAAAACUGGACCAAAAGUUCUCAGAAGGAACUUCAACAAAUUAAAAUCAGGCUAUAAGAUCAAAAGCAACUACUGAAAUUUAAAACUCAACCAAAACUUCAAUGAAACAGUACUUCUGUUGAUUUUUUAAUGCAUUUCUAUUUUGUUUUUGGAUUUUUUUUAAAAUUUAUUGUUAUUUUUUUUGGUUUUCUAUAUAGAACAAAAAGUUAGAAGGAAACUUUUGAACUUUCUGAAAUUCAAAAUUAGGAUCAGAUCUAUAGGACUUAUAGGGUGAAUUUGAUGGCUAAAAACUGAUACAUUAAGGCAGGGGGAAUACCUUUAUAUAAGUAGGAAAGGGAUUGGAAAGUUCUAGAACUCACUCCCCCCAGAUAAAACCUAAAAUUUCCUCCUCCUCCCUCACAUGUGACCUCCCCCAGCUUUAUCUUCUAUAUUCCCUCUAUUUUUUAUCCCCAAACUACCCUUUUAGAUCUUAAAAAUUACUAAACUGAAUCAACCUCUUCCACUCUGGUCUAUUAACCCUAACCUUCUAAACUAACCAUGGUUAAAUUAGUGUUUCUGAAAGUCGAACAGCUAAAACCAAACAAAUCCUAAGAGUUGAACUAACAAGGAUAUUUUUUUUGGUAAUUAAGUUGUUGCAUUAAUCACCAAAGGAAAUUCUUUACAUAGCUAUAGUCCAGCUACACACAACUGACUAUCACAAAAAGAGAGACGUAGCCAACAUCUAUUUACUAUGCCUCUAUUUCUAAUUACAGGGAGAAUGCUGGAGUUGCAGGCUAAACUUAAUAGNNNNNNNNNNNNNNNNNNNNNNNNNNNNNNNNNNNNNNNNNNNNNNNNNNNNNNNNNNNNNNNNNNNNNNNNNNNNNNNNNNNNNNNNNNNNNNNNNNNNNNNNNNNNNNNNNNNNNNNNNNNNNNNNNNCUAAGUGCCCAUAUGAACUUGACACAUUCCUAAACAACCUUGAGUUCCUCUCUAACCAGAUAUUAUAACACAUUUUUGCAAUGAUCAUUUUGAUACUAUGAGCUCGAGUAGUCCUCCCUUUAGCCAUGGUUAUGAUCCAUUGGAUGUAUUGAUCCCAGCUUUGAAAGUGCAAUAUUUCUAAGUAAGUGCCCAUAUGAACUUGACACAUUCCUAAACAACCUUGAGUUCCUCUCUAACCAGAUGUUAUAACACAUUUUUGCAAUGAUCAUUUUGAUACUAUGAGCUCGAGUAGUCCUCCCUUUAGCCAUGGUUAUGAUCCAUUGGAUGUAUUGAUCCCAAGUUUGAAAGCUAGGCUGAGUUACCCAAAUCCAAAUCAUUGUUUGAUGUCUCAGUUGUAUGGUGAAGGGACAGGAGAAGAAGAGGUGAUCCCUGGUCUCCAUGUCUUGCUGACAUAGUGUACAGGUGCUGUCCAAGUUUGGAUUCCACUGUCUCAAUCGAUCCUUGGUAGGUAACCUAUCCUGCAGAAUCAGCCAGAGNNNNNNNNNNNNNNNNNNNNNNNNNNNNNNNNNNNNNNNNNNNNNNNNNNNNNNNNNNNNNNNNNNNNNNNNNNNNNNNNNNNNNNNNNNNNNNNNNNNNNNNNNNNNNNNNNNNNNNNNNNNNNNNNNNNNNNNNNNNNNNNNNNNNNNNNNNNNNNNNNNNNNNNNNNNNNNNNNNNNNNNNNNNNNNNNNNNNNNNNNNNNNNNNNNNNNNNNNNNNNNNNNNNNNNNNNNNNNNNNNNNNNNNNNNNNNNNNNNNNNNNNNNNNNNNNNNNNNNNNNNNNNNNNNNNNNNNNNNNNNNNNNNNNNNNNNNNNNNNNNNNNNNNNNNNNNNNNNNNNNNNNNNNNNNNNNNNNNNNNNNNNNNNNNNNNNNNNNNNNNNNNNNNNNNNNNNNNNNNNNNNNNNNNNNNNNNNNNNNNNNNNNNNNNNNNNNNNNNNNNNNNNNNNNNNNNNNNNNNNNNNNNNNNNNNNNNNNNNNNNNNNNNNNNNNNNNNNNNNNNNNNNNNNNNNNNNNNNNNNNNNNNNNNNNNNNNNNNNNNNNNNNNNNNNNNNNNNNNNNNNNNNNNNNNNNNNNNNNNNNNNNNNNNNNNNNNNNNNNNNNNNNNNNNNNNNNNNNNNNNNNNNNNNNNNNNNNNNNNNNNNNNNNNNNNNNNNNNNNNNNNNNNNNNNNNNNNNNNNNNNNNNNNNNNNNNNNNNNNNUCACUAUAGUAAACAGAAAGGGAGAAAUUGGAUCACCCUGUCUCAAACCUUUGGCUGCUUGAAAAGGUUCUGUAGUUUCCCCAUUCACCAUGACUGUAGAGCUCACUGUUUGAACACAUUCCAUGAUCCAUCUGAUAAACCUGCUUGGGAAAUUUAAAGACUCCAUCACCUGCUGUAAGAAAACCCACUCAACAGAAUCAUAUGCCUUCUGUAAGUCUAUUUUAAUCAUGCAUCUAGGAGAUACAUGAGCCCUUGUAUAAUGUUUAAUCAGUUCAUGAGCUAGGAUAACAUUAUCAGCAAUCCUCCUUCCUGGAAUAAACCUUGCAUGUGUAUCACAGAUGAUACUAGCUAUGCAUUUCUGUAGUCUGUUGUCCAAAAUCUUGGAGAUGAUUUUAUACAAAACUGAACAGCAAGCAAUUGGUUGAAAUUCCUUGACUGAUUGUGGAUUAGCACCCUUGCAUAAUGUUUAAUCAGUUCAUGUGCUAGGAUAAUACUGUCAGCAAUCCUCCUACCAGGAAUAAAACCUUCCUGGGUAUCACAGAUGAUACUGGCUAUGCAUUUCUGUAAUAUAUUGGCCAAUAUCUUGGAGAUGAUUUUAUACAAAACUGAACAACAAGCUAUUGGUCGAAAUUCCUUGACUGAUUGUGGAUUAGCAACUUUAGGAAUCAAGGUGAGGGAGGCACAGUUAACUGGUUUAUACAUUCUACUGGUCAAGCUAUUGGUCGAAAUUCCUUGACUGAUUGUGGAUUAGCAACUUUAGGAAUCAAGGUGAGGGAGGCACAGUUAAUUGGUUUAUACAUUCUACUGGUCUGGAAGAAGUCCAUAACAGCCCUAGUGAUCUGAUUGCCAUUGAUACACCAUGUCUAUUUGAAAAAAGUAGCAUUGUAUCCAUCAAUACCUGGAGCUUUAUGAUCACCUAUGGCCUUUAAGCUGUCUACAAUUUCAUCCAAAGUAACAUCAGCAAUUAACUGUUGCAUCUGGUUGUGUGUGAGUUUAGGACUAUUGUCCAUAUAGGACCUGUUAAUUGCUGGUAAGGAGGCAGUUGAUGUUCCCAUCAAGGAUUUUUAAAAANNNNNNNNNNNNNNNAGGACCUGUUAAUUGCUGGUAAGGAGGCAGUUGAUGUUCCCAUCAAGGAUUUAUAAAAAUACUUGAUCUCAUCUCUGAUUGCAUCUGGAUUAGUAAUUUUUGUACCUCCUGAUGUAACCAAUUCUGUCAUACUUUUGUACUGGUUUCUUUCUUUCAGUAGAGCAUUAAAAAAUUUAUUAUUUGAGUCUCCAAAGUGAAUCCAUCUGGCUCUGGAUUUCUGUUGAAGUAAACUAACAACACUAAUCAUUCAAUUGAAAUCAAACAAAAAGAAAAUCCGAGCAUAACAGAAUUAACGAAACAUCAAAACAUAACGGAAUAAACUAAAAAAACAAGACUGAAUUAAUCACAACCCCUGGCGAAUCCUAAAUCGAUACUAAUUAUUAUAUUAAUCGAUUCGACCUUAAUAAUACUUCAUAUAAGAGAACAAAGCAACAAAAAAACAAAACAAUGGAGGGAAGGGCAGUGUAGUGAUGGAACGUAACAGAGAAGAACAACGAAAACAAAAACGGAAAUAGGGCAAAGAAAAGAAUGGCUGGUCUGAAUGAACUCUGACGUCUUCAAUUUGAGUCGAAACAAAUAUUAACCGGGUGUUCUCAACAAAAGCACAUGGCUAAUACUCGUUUCGAGCACUAUCGCUCAAAGGAAGCUGACAAAUUUGGCGAAUUUCUUCUUCUUCGCUCUCAAACUGGAGCGGACUGAUUUGGCGAGGUCUUGGGCAAAAAUGAUGAUGGAUUAGGGUUGAGGGAAGGAUGAUGGUUUUAUGGCCGAGAUUUGGGUGAUGGCUUGAGUUCCAUUGCCGGUAACAAUGGUGGACUUUAUGGCUGCUAGGGUUUCACUGAAUGAACAAGAAGAGAGAAAGAAGGGGGGUGUUUGGUUUGGUCUUAGGUUUAUGAGACUAUAUUAGGACAUUAUUAUUUAGGUGGAAGAAAGGGCUGGGGUUGUUGGAUGAAAAGAAAAUGAAAGGCUUGGAUUGAUCUAGACCAAAACGAUGUCGUUUGGCGGGGGAAGCGGACUAGACCGGGUGGGGGUUACUUUGGGCCUGGGGCAGGUAAUUUUUUGAAGGGAAUAUUUGGGCUAUGAAUUAAUUUUGUCCCAAUUUUGGGUGUUUCUUAAGACAACCUCAUUUUAAUUGCUUUCUUUUUGCUUUUCUCUUUUAUUUCUCUAUUUACUUUGUUUUUAUUUUGUAUUUUUUAUUUUUCUAAUUUUAUAAAAAUGCUAAAAUAAAAUUAAAGACCUAAUAUAUUUCCAAGUUAAGCUAAUUAAUUCCUAAAAUUGUUUAAAUCCAAUUUAAAAAUAAACUCAUGACAAAUUCUAACAAUUAACAAUUAAAAAUGUAAAAAUGGACUUUUUUUGUUAUUUUCUUUGUAUUUUGUUCUAAAAAUAACUUAACCGCUAAUUAAUCCUAAAAUAUGAAAUUAAAUCCUCAAUGCAGAUGUCAAGUGUAUUUUUUUAUAUUUUUUUCAUAUGAGUUAAAAUGCACAAAUAAUAUACAAACCAUUAACAGAAAAUAACACAGAAUUCACAAAAUUGUAAAAUAAUGAAAGAAAUUAUUUUGUUCGAAUUUUUGGGAAUAAUUCACAUAUAGGGAAAAAAAUCACAUGCUUACACCUUAGACUUCUCCAUUCCACCAUUAAUCCUUUUUAUGACUUAUAGAGUAAUCCUUCGUGACCAUUAAGAGCUCUGUAGUAGCCACCCCAAUGCAGUUCCUUGUCAUUGCCCACAUAGUAGUCGAGUCCCCCUUACUCCUCCAGGCCCUCAAAGCCAUCAACCUCUCCCCAACUCCCUAGCUUUGUCCAUAGUCAAGUUAUCCCACUUGAUCUUAGGUUUCCCACAUACCACUAUUUUCUUCCUGCACCUCUUGAUCUUGCAAGAUGAAACAUGAGGUGCUCACUCGAGAUGACCUUACAAUCAAUGCAUCGACCUAUAUCGUACUUUUUGCAAAGAAGGUAAUCAAUGUGGGUCUUGGCCGCCGAACUCCAGAAGGUAACAAGGUGCUCCUCCCUAUUCGGAAAACUCGAGUUAGUUAUCACCAAAUCAAAAGCUCUAGCGAAAUCUUACAGUGAGGUACCUUCCUCGUUCCUAUCCCCAAAAGCAAACACGCUACGUACAUCAUUAUAACCCAUAGCCUUAUCCCCAACAUGGCCAUUGAAAUCCCCUAUCUCGUUGACAGGAUACUUCUCACAACUUCGUCCAAAUCCUCCCAAAAUUGCCUCUUGACCUUAUGGUCUAAGCCUACAUGUGUAAGCAUUAGUAACACUUACCGUAAACCCUCCAAUUACAAGCUUAAUAAAAAUUAACCUAUCAUUUAUCCUCCUAAUCCCCACAAUAGUUCCCUGAGGUCCCUGUCUACUAAAAUUUCUACCAUGUUCUGUUGGAUAUAUAUAAUUAAUAAUUUUUUGGUGGUCAAAUAUAAUAAAUGAUAUUCUAUAGAUAAAUAGAAAUUUUAUUUUGGUACAUUUCCAUAAAGUUUCCCACUUUCUACUCUCAUGUUUAUCCAUGAUGACACCAAACAAAAAGAAAAAAGAAGAAAAAAAAAGAACAAAGAAAGAAAAAUUGAGGAACUACGAAACUGGACCGACCUAGUUAGUCUGGGGCAAAAUUCAAAAAUAGCCAAAUUUAUGAGUGGUGAUUCAAACAUAACCACAAUUUCAAAAGUAAUCGAAGUUUAGCUACUUUUCAUGUAAUGAUAAAUCUAAACGAAAACACUGUUCAAAAUACUGGAACUCCAAUAUAAUAUACUGGAGUUCUAGCAUACAUAAUAUACUGGAGUUCCAACAUAAACAUAUUGGAGUUCCAGUAUAAUAUACCGGUCCAGCAUAAUAUGGUGGAAGUUCCUAUACAUGUGCUCCAAUCUCCAGUGUAUUAUGCUGGAAUUUUAUCAUGUUGGAGUUCCACCAUAAUAUGCGUCUUCACAGGUGCAUCGAUCUCCAGUAUAUUAUUCUGGAAUUUUUCAUGUUGCAGCAAAAUGGUGGCUAUUUUUUAAUGACUUUGCAAAUGCUGGCUAUUUUUGAAUGACCAGUAUGAAAACAGGCUAGCCCGUCCUAUUUUUAUAGUUGGAUCGGAUUGUUAUAGUUAAACGUCAAAAUAGCAUGGCAUAGCCAGUUUUCGCACUGGUCAAUCAAAAAUAGCCAGCGUUUACCAAGUCAAUGAAAAAUAGCCACUAUUUUGCUACAACAGAGAUUGGUCCCGUAUAAUAUACGGGAGUUCUGGUGCAUUUGUGUACGAACUCCAGUAUAUUAUGCUGGACCAGUAUAAUUUGCUAACUCCUGUAUGAUAUACGGGAGACUGGAGUACCAAUACUCCAAACUCUAGUAUAUUAUACUAGACAUUUAUACUUGAUGGAACUCCCGUAUAUUAUGCAGGAGUUCCAGCAUAAUUAUACUUGAACUCCGACAUAUUAUACGGGAGUACGGGAGUUCCAACAUAGUUAUCCUGGAACUUCCAUAUAAUAUGUGGGAAUUCAAGCGUUCUUAUGCUAGAACUCCGGUAUAAUAUGAGAGUGUAUUUUCUGGAUUUUGAACACUGUUUUUGCUCAAAUUUAUCUUUACAUAAAAAGUGGCUAGAUUUCUAUGACUUUUGAAACUUGGCUAUUUUUCAACGACCAGUUGUAAAUAUGGUUAUUUGUAAAUUCCUCGUUAAAAUAUCAUUGUAUAGCCAGCUUUAACACGGGUUAAUCAAAAAUAGCCAGCGUUUACCAAAUCAAUAAAAAAUAGCCAUUAUUUUGCUGAAACAGGGACCGAUCCAGUAUAAUAUACGGGAGUUCUGGUACAUUUGUGUAAGAACUCCAGCAUAUUAUGCUGGACCGGUAUACUUUGCUAACUCCUGUAAAAUUUUCGGGAGACUGGAGCACCAGUGCUCCAAACUCCAGUAUAUUAUACUGGACAACUGGACCGGUAUACUUUGCUAACUCCUGUAAAAUUUUCGGGAGACUGGGGAACCAGUGCUCCACACUUCAGUAUAUUAUACUGGACAUUUAUACUUGCUGGAACUUCUGUAAAAUAUACGGGAGUUCCAACAUAAAUGUGCUUGAACUCCCAUAAAAAUUGCGGGAGUUCCAGCAUAGUUAUCCUGGAACUCCUGUAAAAUUUGCGGGAGUUCGAGCAUACUUAUGCUAUAACUCCAGUAAAAUUUGCGGGUGUAUUUUUUGGAUUUUGAAUAGUGUUUUCGCUCAAAUUUAUCCUUACAUAAAAAUAAUUAAAUUUCGUUUACUUUUGAAACUUGACUAUUUUUCAAAGACUAGUAGUAAAUCUAGCUACUUUUAAAUUUGAGAUUUUUACCUAUCUAUACCAUAUAGCAAACCUUAUUACCUCCCAUGUUUAAGGUGUGUGUUUAUUACAUUUAAGCAUACCAAAUUUCAAUUUAUGUACCAUAAUUCAAAUUAAGGGUAUAAUUAUUGCUUCAUUUAAUCUAGGCAUGAUUUUAGGAACAUAUUUUCACUUUAUUUUAUUUACCUGUCUCUCUCUCCUCUCAUCUCCAACCCUACGAUUUUUCAACUAAUUUAAAUUCAGGAGGCCUGAGAAAAUAUCGAUGAAGGUAACUUUGCAUGACCCCACCUUGAUUUAUAUACAGUAUAUAUGACAAUUCGUACUGCUUCCAAACAAGAAGAGUCAAAUAUUAUACUGCUAACCUUUUAAUCUUUGUUUCGGGGUGUUUGGACCACUUUCAAAGUCCAGUUGUAUAACCCGUUCUUAGUGCCCGUUGUGUAAACAGUCUACAGUGUGAGUGUAAUUGUAGUUUAUUUGUAGUUUUUUGCAGAAAAUUUGUAGACGAAGAGCAAAUUUUGUUGUCAACACUUUUUUUGACACAAGAUUGGAGUUUAAUUGUAGUAUAAAUGUAACAAUACAACUUUAUACAAUACUUAAACUGAUUUGUAGUUUUUUUUUUUUGACACAAGAUUGCAGUUUAAUUGUAGUAUAAAUGUAACAAUACAACUUUAUAUAAUAUUUAAACUGAUUUGUAGUUUAUUUUUAGAAAUUGUAUCUACAAACUGAAAAUAUUGAAUUUUAAUAUCUCAAUUCUCAUUUCAAUUGUAGUAUAAUUGGCAUUUUCGAUAUAAUUGUAGAAGAAUUGUAGAAGUUUUAGUCUUUCCAAUCUACAAUUUAUCUACAAUUCUAUAAUUUAUCUACAAUUUAAUACAAUUAUGGAAAUAUGUCUUCUUCUUCUUCCACGAGUUUCAAUCUGAAAUCCAGUCAAAACCAAGUCUAAUCUUCAUCAAAACCCCUCAAAAUUUAGAUAUAAACUCCUAAACAUAUUCCAAACUAUUUACAACAACAACCAAUCCAAACAAAUGAUGAUUUUUGAAAAUUCAAAUUUGAAUUCAAAGCUUUCAAGCUUUUUAAUGGCUAUCAAUGGUGGAAAAUACAUGGAGAAUGAGACAAUCACGCUGCAAUGGAUUUGCUUCCAUUUUAAAUCUCGAAAUUAAUGGUGAUAGAAUCACUAUUAAAUCUGAUUCCUUCUAUUUUGGCGCGUUUUUAGGGUAGAAUUUACCUAUUUUUGGUUUGGUACAGAUUUUUGGUGUGUUUUUACGGUGGAAUUCAUCUAUUUUUGGUUUGGUAUAGAUUUUGUAGACAAACUAUACACUACACGAGCAAAUACAAUAUUAUGAACAUUUUUAGUAAUAAGAUUUGUUAUAUGGCAUAGAUAGGUAAAAAUCUCAAUAAAUUUCUCCCAAAUUUCUCCCCGGUUAAACCCGUUGGCCCAUAUCCACCGAUCAUUCAAAUAUCUAAUUCUAACCCGUACCCCUCCAAAAGGUAACUCCACAAAAAGAGAAAAAAUAGUAGAAAAAUAUAAAGCUGUAAAUUCAAGAGAGGAAAGAGGCAGAGGAGAAUUCGUGGGAACUAAUUUUGCCUCUUUGGGUAAUGAGAGUUGAUUGUACCCCUGCUUCAAAGCGUCAGAGAUUCAGAGCCGUUGAUCCAAUGGAGUUGGAAUCAGCUAAAGUAAUCCUUUCAAUCUCUAUCUUCUACUGUUAUUUCAAUUUCUGUGUUUUACCAUAUGUGAGAUUGGACUUCUUGUUUGAACCAAGCUUGCCCAACCCUGAUUAAUUUCAUGGUGGGUUAAGAGAUGCCUUUUCUUGAUUGCUUACAAAGAUUUUUCUUCUUAAUAAAAUCUUUUAAAAGAAGUUUGUAUUAAAGACCUACUCCAGUUGAAGCAAUAUUUCUGUUAAAAAUCUAAUCUUAAAAGGGUGCCAGAUGUAUCUGUUGUAGUUAGCUUAUUUGGACUUUUUUUUUUUAUAACAGUGAUGCUUCUUGUUCAUCUUUGAACCAAUUUACAGUCAUUCCAUUGUUUUAGAGUUGCUUCAAAUUGAGAAGUGUAGAUGGAACUUAGUAGAUCAGUAAAUGCAAUUUGUAUGAUCUUUUGACGCUCUCUUUAUGUGUGCACGAAUCAUUAUUGCAUGCUAUUUUAUUUAUAGUUUUUAUGUUUUUUAUUUUUAGGUUUUUAUGUUUAGANNNNNNNNNNNNNNNNNNNNNNNNNNNNNNNNNNNNNNNNNNNNNNNNNNNNNNNNNNNNNNNNNNNNNNNNNNNNNNNNNNNNNNNNNNNNNNNNNNNNNNNNNNNNNNNNNNNNNNNNNNNNNNNNNNNNNNNNNNNNNNNNNNNNNNNNNAGGGUCGAUUGGAAANNNNNNNNNNNNNNNNNNNNNNNNNNNNNNNNNNNNNNNNNNNNNNNNNNNNNNNNNNNNNNNNNNNNNNNNNNNNNNNNNNNNNNNNNNNNNNNNNNNNNNNNNNNNNNNNNNNNNNNNNNNNNNNNNNNNCAGCCUCUCUGCCCUUUCGGGUAGGGGUAAGGCCCGUCUACAUAUUACCCUCCCCAGACCCCACUUUGUGGGACUAUACUGAGUAGUUGUUGUUGUUGUGGUUGUUGUAAUAUUAGCAUGAGAUCAGCUAAAUGACAUGGCCAGUGAGGAUUUAUAUGGCCGGCCACAAUUUUUAGUUGGGAUUGAGGUGGUUUUGUUGUAGUAACCUGUAUCUCAGGCUUCCCUUUUUGAUUUUGCCGUGCUUAGUUCUUAAUCCCGCGCUUUGCUCUUAUUACUUGGAGAGUUGCUACCGUUACAUGAUUACAUCUUGAACAGAUUCAUGCAGAUCUUCAAUUUGGUACUUGCAUAGGGUCUGGAGCAUAGUUUUGAGUAGAAUUUCUGUAAUUAUUGUAUUAUAACAAAAGAAUAAGGUGAUAGUUUCAUCCUGGGAAAUAUUCGUGGACUUCAAUAACCGAAAGCACCCAAAACGAGCUUAAAAGAAGGGCUUAUAGACUAAGCAAAUGAUUUGACUCCUUAAGGGAACGGAGACUGCAGAGGUGUGUGUAGGCCAUAAAACAGUUAAGAUACUGGCUUCAGGCAUUUGUAAUAGCUCGAUUUGUAGCUAGCAGGAAAACAAAUUAUUUUUUUUUAAAAAAGCACACUGCUCAGGGUGAAGUGCAUGGAUCAGCACUUAUUUAAAAUUAUUGAACUUACAGAAUUACUGUCGACAAUGAAACACAGUGAAAUUUAACUUCCGCUGUAAAGGUAAAGAAUAUUAAACAAAUCAUGUACAAAAAGCUUCCGAAAUCGGUUCUAGUGUCUGGUAAGUAAAAUUAUUCUCCUUGUGUAGGUUCUUUUGGCUUUACUUCAGUUACUCUCUCUGAAGCUAAAUCUGAGGAAACCUUUGUCUGUUAAUCCAGCACGGAAAUACUCUUUUCAGGUAAUGGAUUGUAACUAUUCUGUUUUACUGGGUAAAUUCAGGUGAAGCUUGCAGCCGCAAAAGAAAAGUUUGGACGUGAAAUCCGUGUGUUUGAAAUAUCAACUGCUUCUUCAACGCCUUCUGAAGUUUCCAGCACUGGUACUUCCUGCUUGAUAUACACAGCAUUAUUAAUACAACUUCCUAAACAUGAUUUUAUUGUCUAUUUUUCAUAUAUGCUCAUUUUAUUUUGUUGUGACCCUUUCUAACCGUCUUGUGCAGUGUCAGAGGAGCCAGAAGACUUCUAUGAGUUCACACCAGAGGAUUAUUAUCGACUUUUGGCAACAAAAAAAGAAGGUAAGAUACUCGGAUUAAAAACGGCUUUAAGUAUUUGCUAAUUUGCGAUUCCUAGUUGACCUCCAAUAGAAAAAGAAAGAAAAUUGUCAAUUUAGUAUUCUGUGGAGUUAAUUGACAAAUUACGCUAAAACUCCAAACAUUUUAUAAUUAUUCUUACUUUUUUUUAGUAUACUCACUGUUAUUUCCAAAUCUUUACCUUCUUCAAUGGUUGUUUCCGUUCCCUCUGGCUAUUCUUGUCAUCUUGUUUAUUUACUAUACGUCUGCGGAAAAGUAUAUAGGUGUUUGGUUAUUUUUUGUUGCUACUCAUUCUAAGUGCUGUGAUGAAAUUUUCGACAGAUAAGCAUUUGAAGACAAAGAAACUUCGCGAGGCAGAACAAGCUGCACGCAGAGCAAGGAUAACUAAGGUUUUCAGAUCCUUCUCUCCAGAUGAUCUUUCAACUUGUGUCAAAUAUGCAUAUUUUUUGGUGUUAGUCUUUUGUUAAAGUAAGUUUUCAUCAGUAUCCAUAAAGGCACGACUGAACUCUGAAUCUAGGUGCAGCUGAGGCUGAACGCUUCAUCUUGCUUAGGCAGUUAUUUAGUGCCUACAUAAGGCUCUAAGGCCUCACUUGUGUCAAGUAUGCAUAUUUUUUGGUGUUAGUCUUUUAGUAAAGUAAGUUUUCAUCAGUAUUCGUAAAGGCCCGACUGAACUCUGAAACUAGGUGCAGCUGAGGCUGAACGCUUCAUCUUGCUUAGGCAGUUCUUUAGUGCCUAAAUAACGCUCUAAGGCAUGUGCCUCAUUGUUGGCUCUAUCUUGAAGGGGCGGGGAUAAACAAUUAAUAAGCUGGAAAAUGAUAUACUAAAAAAUGUUAUGAAUGAAUAUGCCAGCGAUUAGGAAGAAGAAAUUAAAAGUUUUGCUUAAGAAAACUAGUCAGAAAGAUUUAAUUAAAGCUUAAAACUGCAUUUUACAUUUGGAUUAGAAGUUUAAAAUGAUUUUUGAACUUAGCUGACAUGAUUUUGUAUUCAUAUGUUUCACUUAAUUACAGAAUUUUUUUUCUUCAAAUUUCUUUGUACAUGCAACUUCUUUGCCCUUGUAUUGAUUUUUCUUCAUCAUUCAUAUGUCUUUUUUUUAGUUUUCUUUCUUUAUUUGCACUUUUCUUUUGGGGGCAUUGACAUUGCGCUUAAAGUCACAGGGGACCUUACACUUUUCUACGCCUUUGCAUUUGACAUUGUUAGUUUUCAUAUCACAUGUUGGUCUAUGUUGUUCAGGCUUUAAUCAGAGUACGGUUUCCGGAUAAUUAUACAUUGGAGGCCACAUUUCAUCCAUCAGAGACAAUCCAAAGCUUACUUGACCUUCUUAUGAAAGUGAUUGCUCACCCUGAGCUUCCUUUCUAUCUCUGUAAGAACAUACUAAACAGUUGAUACAUUCUACUGUUCCUAUAUUUUGUUAUAAUAGCCUUACUGAAGAUGGAUUUUUGUUUAUAAUUUCAGAUACUACUCCUCCUAAGAAGCAAAUAAAAGAUGUAUCUCAGGAUUUCUAUUCUGCUGGAUUUAUUCCUGGUGCUAUUGUCUAUUUCUCUUACGAUCUACCCAAAGGUUAGCGCAAACUAUUCAUUGAAUCCUCUGCUCUUUUGUAACUUUAGUUCUUUGAAAACCUCUAUUAUAUGUUCGGACAUAGAACCUGCAACAACUUGCAUACUUAAUAUACUUCAGUGGUGAUUUAAUGAUGUUUAAUGUUUUCGGUAAUCCUUCUAAGGAAACAUUGCAACGGGGAGGUGUGAGGAACUAAAGUUCCUUUAACUUUAAGAGAAUCUGUCUCCUUGAGCAAUCAUGACGAGUACAAUUUUUCUUUGAGAAGAAAAUUAUGGCGAAUUCACUUCUGCUUAGUCCUUGUCCUUUUGGAGGGAAGGUUUAUAUUUGUUAAUCAAUAACCUGCUAAGCCGUCUCUUUUGAUCAUUGGAAAGCGAUUAAUUUUUAAGAAUAGCUAUCAUCACCCAGCUUCCUGAGCUCUUUAUAGGAGAUCUUAUGUAAAUCCUCGGCUGUAAUAUCGUUAGCAGGAUCCUCUUAAUGCUGGUUUUCAUCAAUAAGAGUUGUACUUACAAAAUAAAAAUUAAAAAAACCAAGGUCUCCAUCACCCAUCUCUCUAAAUGCUCAUAUACACACUCUUUUCACCUGCUUAUUUACGUAAUUUCUUAUCUUAUUUAUGAUUGGUAAGACACCUAAGCGGGUAUAUGUACUCAAUAUUUGGUUUACUCAUGCGUCAACAGGCACUUACCGUGCCAGAUCGUGGCUGUCCAUUUGGCAAUGGGAGGCUAGAGAUUGCUGAGUGCUCGCAUUGAUUUGAGAUCAAGCAAACAAUUCUUUGAGAGAGAAGCAAAAGGAGUUCCUCUCAACACUCUAUCUCUCUUUGAGCUUCCCUUGUGGCUUUAGGUUUUUAGCAUUCUUUCUUAUUUCCAAACACUUCUUGUGCGCACAAUAAGUACACAUGGUAGCUAUGCAUGAUCAAGCUACGUAAGGAUUAAGUGCAAUAGCUAGUUCGAUGAUGGCAACAUUUUUUUAGUAAUGCUGAAUUUGGUCUCUGCCAAGAGGACAGUUUUGGAGAAGCGAGCAUUGGAAAGUAUACAAGAAUGUGACACAUGGCUCUACAAUGACACUUCAAUUAGAUUCUUUUUUCAGAUUAUGGAGGGGAUUCUCUUUUUGCCAAAAUGGAACUUUUUUGGCUGAUUUUGGUACAAGGGAUAAUGAAACAGGAGAGCUUGUUGAUCAGCAAUGUGGUAGGUGGGAAUUGCUAGAGGUAGAAGAUUUUAGAUUGGGUGACAGUUAGGAUUAUCUUCUCUCUUUCUUCUCCUUUCUCUGGGGCUGGGGGUGGAGGUUUGCUAUAUGUCGCAUGGCUAAGAUUUGUUCUUCCAUAUUGAUGCUCUUGGGAAACUCUAGAAUCAAAGGUUCAAGUGUAAUUAGUAAAUUUUUGGCAUUUCUUUUCUCCAAUAUGUCUUAAUCCACAGAGAGGGACAGCAUGGUUUUAAAUAACCUGGGCACAUCAUAUAUUCAGUAGAGGUACAUGUAAAAGCAUUCAUGUCUACAUUCAGUUUUUACAUAUUUUAAUUUUGAAGGAUCUGCACAAAAGUACCCAUACCGACCUUAUCCUGUCAGAUAUUUUAGUACGUCAAGACAAAUGAGAAGUCCAUGUAAUGUGAAUCCAUUCUCAAUAUCGACUGCUGGUUGUUUGUCUUCUGUUUCGUUUGAUAUAUAUUGCCAGUUCUAAUGAAUCUUCUGCUGACGUCUUUUGUGUUAUAAUUAGAGUUUUGUUUGUUCACAUGCGCCCUCACCUCUCUCUUAAGAUUAUUUUUAUGGCUCAUCUUAUUCUCAGGUGAUGAUGGUGCUGCAACAUCGGGACCUUACCUUCAAGAAGAGGUCAUGUCUUUGCAAGGAUUGGAUUCUAUGAUAGAGACGGAGUCUGGUGAACCGAGCAGAGUUGAACCUCCCAAAACCAACCCCCCUGCUUCAGUGCCAGAUCAGAAGCCUGCUGAUAAGAAGAAAAUUAAGCCAAAGUGGUUGAAACUGUGAUACCGUUGAUUUCAGGGUUAUGCUAUAGUCUACUCUAUUCCGUGUUAUUUGUAAUCGUUGCUGGUUCUGUGAUCAGUUUGUCAGUAGAAGCGAAAACAUAUGUACAUGGUGCUCUUUGCUUCAACUGGAUAGUAACUUUCUGGAGUUGUAGGCCACAAGAGGAGGUUGGAAUUUGAAAAUAUGUUCCUCAUCUAAAUAAUGGUUUCCCUUAAUCCUUGAUUCAAUUGGCAUAUAGGUUGCACUUUUAGAUAUUUCUUUACUUUACCUGUCAAUAUAUUCUCAAUUAUCGAAAAUGAUAGAACAUGGCAUUUGAUUUGGCUUUUAAGAUGGGUUAACCUCCCAGGCACUAUAUUUAACCUUAAAAGAUAAAAGAAGAUUUUCAAAGCCAUUACAUUACACACAGAUAUGCAUUAAGUCAAGUUUAGCAGAAACGGUUAGUGCAGACCUUUAACAGCUUGUUUGGAUGGUCGUGUUACAUAUUUCAUAAUGUAUCGUAUUGUACUAUAUCGUUUGAUGAAUAUAAUAUCUGGAUGUGUUUGCCGUUGUUUCAUGGUAUCGCGCAUAAGUAAUAUGAUGAAUAAAUUUGCAAUAUUAUAAAGAAAGAUUAUGAAAGGUAGGGUACAUUUCAUCCUUACGUAAUGACGGAUUUAACACUACAAUACAAUAAAAUAUAAGUAAUAAUUAAAACAAAUAUUAUAUUUAAAGUAACAAUACGAUACAAUAUAAUAAGUACGACCAUCCAAACAAGCUGUAAGUGGCAACCACGGGAUUUCCUUGUUUUCUAGGCGCAAACUGCUUUGUAAACUGGCUAAUAGCCUCAAGUCUUUUAAUUUUUUUUCUUCUGUCUGGAUUUUUUUCUUGUACAAAGAAUGCUACCAUUUUUGUUGUAUUAUUGUAAUUCAAAUAUUUUACAUAAGGUUUUCAUUAGUAUUACUAUUGGUGUCAUCAAUGAUUUGUUAAUCCGAUGAAGCUUCGAUCUUUCUCUAAGUCCUUUGAUAUUACCAUUGUUGGAAUUCUGUUGGUUAAAUCUCCACCAUUGUUUUCCUCCUUGCUUUGUUUAUUAUCGUUCUUAAUUGUAGUGUUCCUAUAGUCAAAGUGGCACAUUUAGAAUUUUAAAGUUAUGAGUACUCGCCGAUAAAAACUUCAAAAGAAAAGUAAAAAUAAAUUUACUUUUGGAUGGUCACUCUAUAUUUAUCUAAAUAUUUUUAUAAUUGCUUAUAUAAAUUUACUAAAUACGAUCAAAGUUAAUGGGUGCUUACCCAAGUGGAUCCGCCACUCUAUAGACUGCACAACACACAAUAUUGUUCCAACUACAAACAAGGUAUUAAUUGCAUACAUAGAAUUAUAUUGAACAUGUUUAGGAAUUAGAUCGAGGUGUUAUAAAUAGAAUUCUAUUUAUGGUGAAUGUCUAUAUUUAGAGAGAUUCUAGGAUUUAUUACUUGGUGACUAAGUCAAUAUUUCCCUAUAAAUAGAGGGUUCUAUUCCAUUGUAAUUCAUCCCAUAUCAAUAAGAAUUCUCUCUCUCUACUUUGCUCUGUAAUACUCUUCUUCUUUUAUUAUUUCAUAACACGUUAUCAGCACGAGACUCUAACCAAUUGAGUAGAAGCUUUGGAAUUGAGCAUAACGAUUAUCAAUUAUUCAAUGAACUUCCUUUAAGAUUACAUUCUGGAUUUAAGGUAAGUAUUUUACUUUUCUCUUUCAAAUUCUUGUAAUUCUAUAAUUUGANNNNNNNNNNNNNNNNNNNNNNNNNNNNNNNNNNNNNNNNNNNNNNNNNNNNNNNNNNNNNNNNNNNNNNNNNNNNNNNNNNNNNNNNNNNNNNNNNNNNNNNNNNNNNNNNNNNNNNNNNNNNNNNNNNNNNNNNNNNNNNNNNNNNNNNNNNNNNNNNNNNNNNNNNNNNNNNNNNNNNNNNNNNNNNNNNNNNNNNNNNNNNNNNNNNNNNNNNNNNNNNNNNNNNNNNNNNNNNNNNNNNNNNNNNNNNNNNNNNNNNAGGACAACAAUAAUGCAAGAAACAUAUCUUGCAUAUAAUUUUGACCAUGACCAUAAUGGUAUAACUUUCUCUUUAAAAGAGAUAUUCACCAUAUUGAUGUCAUGAAUAUGUGGUAGUACCAAAUUAAUUGAGAACUCUAAAAGAGCCAAUUAUACUAUUUUGGAGAAACACAAUUGAAUAUCAAUAAGGUAUUGUGUUGUAGUAAGUCUCAAAGAAACUUAUUCAGUUUCCAAAGUAUACGUGAAAACACAAUUGAUUACCAAUAAGGUAUUGUGUUGUAGUAAGUCUCAAAGAAACUUAUUUAGUUUCCAAAGUAUAUGCAAAAGCGGUUGAUUAUAUUAAGACAAUAAAUAAAGGAAAGAUUUGAUAUCUUCUAUUACUACAACUUGUAGCGGGAUAAUCUGUAUGUGAAAAGCUACCCACUUUAUUGUCUAGUUUGUAGUACACAAACAAAAUAAUGCCAGAAUAAAAUGGAUGUUUAUUGAUAUAAAAACUCAUAUCAUAAUAAACAUGGAGUUUAUUGAUAAUUGCACAUGUCAUGGUGUAAACCUGCAAUUAUCAAUAUUGAUAAUUUAUUCAGCUGGCAUAAUCAGUGUAGCCAUAUCAAUUUAAGUAUGAUGUGCAAAAAUAAUAGAGAAUUCACAUGGGUAAAUAUUAACGAACUAGAAAAUUCUUUACGAAUUCUCUUAUAGUGCUUAUUCUCAUUAAUUAAUUGAUCAACUAAAGUUGUGAUUGAAUCCCAUGAAUUCUGAAAAUAUUAAAGGUGAAUAUAGGCCCAUUCACCUACCGUGUAUACCACAUAAGAUGCAUUUAUGAGAUGGUUACAUGUCCGAUUAUUAUUAACGCACAACUUGGUGUUUGCGAGGUAAUUUGCUCAGUAAUUUAACUUAGAGCAUAAUUUCCAGUUUUUCUGUCCAAGAUAGUUUAUUUUGAUAAGUUGGUUUACGUCACAGCUGGUUUAGCAAAAUAAUUUAUUGAGCGCCUCCACUUAAUAGCUAAACUAUUGCUUAUGAGAACAAAGUUAUCUAUAUCAGUUUAAUAUACGUUAUAUACCAAAGUAUAUUAUUUUCUCCCCUCACGAGUGGUUCUAGGUCAGGAACCUAAUAAUUCCAUAGUAUUAUUAUUAAUGUGCAGUGUAUAUUGAUUAAUACCAUAACGCACAAAGAUGGAUUCUCAAAGUUGAGGAAAUAAGUUAGUUUUUCUAACAUGAGGGGGAGACAUGAUAAACCGUUGAGAAAAAGUUACGCGGAAUGAAUUAUCAUUUGUAUAUCUAGAACCUCGAUUACGAUAAUAUGAAGAAGUUCAUAAAAAGAUAAUUUGUUUGUAAUAUAUUGCAAAGCAUGCCAUAUGCAUUUGUUGACCCAAAGAAAGUAACUAUAUUCUCACUGGAAAUGUUCAUAUUAAGUCCAAGAAAGACAAAGUCUAUGGUACGUUUAAAGCGUAUAGACAAAUUGGUUUCAAAUAAACUUAUUGAUAAAUAAGAUGAGCAAAUGAUCAAAGUGAUCAUAAUAAAGAUGCAACUGAUCUAGAAGAUCACAUGUUAUAACACUUCAUAAAAUCUCAUGAGAGAUUCAGGUACCUUAAUAUAUGAAUGAAGAGAUCUCUAUGUUAUGUCUUUAUGAAAACAAUAUUGAAACCGAUAUAAAAUGUUCUUGACGACAUCUAUCAUAGCGCUAAGUAUAGAUAAGGAUCUUAAGACUGUCGAGACAGACACAAAAUAUUGACCAAAUAGACACUACACAAUUCAAAUAGAAUUUGUUUAAUAUGAAAGACAUGUAGUUUUGGACAUGUAGUUCAAACAAUUAAAAGUAUAAAGCCAAUGGUAUGUACAAUCAGUUUUCGAUAUCUUAUUUGUCUAACAUGACAUGAAAACUUGAUGUGCAUCUAAAGUCUAUUAUAUGUCUUAUAUGACUUAACUUAUAUGUCAAUCCAUGAAAGAUUUCAAUUGCUUGAAGCAUAUACAGUUCUUGAUCUUGAAGUAUCGCUUCCUCGGUGCAAUAUGUGAACAAAUGUAUCUUGGUAUAACUAUAAGCAUGAUAAUGUGAUAGUGAGGAUAUCUCUAUGGAGAUAUUGAAGAGUCAUUCCACGAUAUUUGUGAAGGCAUUAUGUAUCUAUCACGAGUGAUGAUUUCAAGGUGCAAAUUUUCAUUCAAGUUAAUAUGACUUAUUUGUUUAUCAAAUCUCUAUCAAAGAUCGUUUUGAAGAUGGUUCACAAGAUUGGAAUGCAAAUGCUUAAAGAUGUGAAUUGAUGCUAUCUUCAAGGGGAGUUAAUACGCGUUGCACUUCUUUUUCCUUAAAAGGUUUUGUCCCAAUGGGUUUUCCUUGCAAGUUUUUUAACCAGGCAACCAAAAGGCGUAUUAUUAGAUAUGUGUACUCUUUUUUCCUUCUUUAGAUUUUUUUCCCAUUGGGUUUUAUUUAGUUAAGGUUUUAACGAGGCAUAUUAUCUAUUGAAUAGACAUUCAGGUGGAGCGUUAUAAAUAGAAUUCUAUUUAUGGUGAAUGUCAAUAUUUAGAGAAAUUCUAGGGUUUAUUACUUGGUGGCUAAGUCAAUCUUUCCCUAUAAAUAGAGGGUUCUAUUCCAUUAUUAUUCAUCCCAUGUCAAUAAGAAUUCUCUCUCUCUACUUUUCUCUGCAAUACUCUUCUUCUUAUUUUAUUAUUUCAUAACACGAGGUAAAGUUUAAUUCAAAGUAACUUUUUGUUCCCCAAAGCUUUAUGAUUUAGAUUACGAAAACACAAACAAAUUCACUAAUUUGAAACUAAUUUAAUAUAACUCUACAUUGGUGAAUCUUUUUUCCCCGUUCACGCUCACUUGUUUGACAGCCUAAACUGGGUCCCACUUUAGAGCAAGAAAAUAUCCAUUUUUUCAAGUUGAUAAACUCAAACCAAAAUACCAAAAUACAUCAGACCGACGGAAUAAUACCCUAUUAGAAUUGUGUAAUUACAAUAUUUCUACGUUUAAAUCGAUGUGGCACUCGGUAUUGUCAAAUCCCAGAUCCGCCCUGUGAGUUUAAAAUGCAACAAAUAUAUUUUUUAAAAUCAAACAUUUACGAGAAAACAGAAAAACACAAUCUCACAUAUAUUUCAAUAGUAGUUUUCUCAAAUUAAAUCCACAAUCCAAAAAUAUUUUUUAUUUCUAAUUAUUUAGAAAAGGAAAAGGGUUAAAAAAAACCUAUUGGAAAAAGUUUAAAAAUACCCUUCAUACAUCUAUUGGGCUAAAAACACCACUGUAUUGGGCAAAUUUGGUUCCUCACGCCCAUAUGCUAUCCACAUACGGCCUCACUAGAGAAAGCGGCCUUAGCAAGGUCGACCCAAGUAGGGCCGGCCUCAACCGACAAAUGGACUAAGUGACAAGACUCGCUGCAACAUCACAUCAAGCUCUGACACUCGUAUAUCGAGGCCACCAACUCUCGUACUUUCUUUGUAUUAUUUCGAGGAACGUCCCUUAAUAUAUAAAUGAGACCUUCCCUUUUGUAAAGACUUAGUGUAUUUCAUUACUAGAAAUAUACAAUUCUCUCUCUACCUCUCUCUCUGGUGAAAAAUCUGAUAUGUGUCUAAUUGUUCUUAUAUCUUAGUCAUUUCACAAUCUCUAGACCACAUUACACUUGAUUUCGAUUGACUAAAAUUUUUUUUUGAUUGUUUUCAAGCUAUAUAAAGUGUUCGAAUAACUUUUUAGCCAAACAAUUUGGCGCCGUCUGUGCGGAUUUUGAGAAUUAAAGCUGUAGUUUGUUUCUAGAGAUCCUUCGAAAAGUACUUCGCAUAACCUAGAAUGGCUGAAAAUAAUGCUAGAAUGAAGGCUAUCCUGGAGGUUAGAACAGACCUCACGGGCACUCUCAACACGGCUGCCGAAGGAGAUGCCCUACACACAACCCCUAGUACUUGAUAGGCGUGGAAGCCUUACCCUCCUCAUCAGAAGAUCUGGUAGUGCCACGAGAAAGAGAAGCUUCAACAUCUACCACUAAGGAAGCACCCCCAGAAAUAAAGAAAUUACUCGAAGAGUGGCUGAUGAGCACUCUGAGUAGUCUAGCCAAGAAACCACCCAAAAAUGAUAGAUGCACCCCAGCAGCAGAUCAUGUCGCAACUGAGGAUGAACUCGAGGUCACAAGAACAAAUAACGUACCCGACGAUGUUAUGCACCCCAGCGGCAUAUCAUGUCGCAACCGAGGAUGAGCUCGAGGUCACGAGAACAAACAACAGUCCCGUCGAUGUCCAAGCUAACGACGGAAAGCUCGCAGUCAUCCUCAAAAAGAUGGAAGAAAUGGAGAACGAGAACAAAUCGUUCCGCGACCAGAUGAAAGAACACCAAGAAAGGGUGGAUAAGAUCCCAGGCGCACCUAAGUUGUACAAAUCGCUUCGCGACCAGAUGAAGGAACACCAAGAAAGGGUGGAUAAGAUCCCAGGCGAGCCUAAGUUGUUGCCAAAGCGAGACAUGGGAAGGUUCGUCGAACAACCUUACACGGAAGGAGCCGCGCCGUACCCCAUCCCAAAAACCUUCAAGAUGCCCCCUACUUAAAAGUAUAUGACGGCUAUACCGACCCCGAGGACCACCUGAUACACUAUGUUACAACCGUCAAAGGCAACGACUUAUCAGAAGAACAAGUACCAUCCGUGCUUCUGAAGAAGUGCGGCGAGACGCUGACAGGAGGGGCCCUAACGUGGUACUCACAACUGCCAGCCAAGAGCAUCUCAACCUUUGAGGAGAUGGCUGAUAAAUUUGCUACUGCCCAUGCGGGAGCAAGGAAGGCGGAAGCACGGCGACAUUUUUGUUGUGCGUCAAACCCCGGGAGAAGGGCUUAGAGAGUUCCUAGCCAGAUUCAACAGAGUCAGAAUGAGCCUACCUAACGUGUCUGAAGGCAUGGUAGUUGCGGCCUUUCAGAACGGACUCAGCAGAGAUGGCUCGAAGACGCCAAGAAGCUACUCAACUGUCUCUUGAAAUAUCCCCCACCACCUGGGAAGAAAUACACAAUGCCUAUUGCGCCGAAGUACGUGGGGAUGAUGACGACCUUAACGACCCGACCUGAAGGUUGAAAAAGGUACACCCAGAAAUCCGAAGGGACCAGCGCAACGAGGGAAGGCGGGAACAAAUCCCACGCCUCAACAUGGAAAGACAUCAACCAUACAUCAGGUCCUCACACCCGCCACCACCAAGGCAUACAGACGCCUUACAACGAGAUACUGCUCCACUAAGGAGCGACAGAGGUACGCCCCCUCCAUUAUCUACACAUAACUUUUGUGUGUCCCCUUCAGAGGUAGUGUACGCGCUAGAGAAGCUGGGCAACAAGGUACAAUGGCCAGCAAAGAUGAAGUCCGUCCCCUUCAGAGGUAGUGUACGCGCUAGAGAAGCUGGACAAUAAGAGACAAUGGCCAGCAAAGAAGAUGUCUGACCCCGCCACUAGAAAGUCAAACGCCAUGUGCGAGUUCCACCAAGAACGAGGAUACAGAACAGAGGACUGCAUAGGUCUUCGACAGGAGGUAGUCCGAAUGUUGAACCAAGGGUUCUUGAAGAAGCUGCUCAGCGACAAGGAAAAGCUCAAUUUCGCACGAGGGCGGGAACCACACCAUGGCCCACCAAGGCUGCCCUCACUGAAGCGCACCAUAAGCAUGAUCAUUGGAGAUGACAAUGAUUCGGUGAUCAAUCACAUCAAGUUCACCACCACCCACAAGUUGAAGCGAACUAUCGCCCACGAACGGUAUGAUGACUUCGAAGACAGUAUCACCUUCGAUAAGUCUGAUGCCGAUGCUUUGUGUUUUCCUCAUUAUGAUGCUUUAGUUAUUACUUUACGCAUACUGGAUAAGAUGUUAAAAGGAUCAUGGUCGACGAUAGAAGCGGCGCAUGCAUCAUUCAUCCAAGAGUCCUUGCACUCAUGGGACUCGAGGAUAAAAUAAUCCCGCACUGCAUAACACUAACAGGUUUUAAUAAUGCAGUCGAAAGAACCUCAGGCGAGGUGACGCUGACCAUCCUUGCAGGUGGAGUCACGAUGGAAACCACCUUCCACGUGAUGAGCCACGCUGCAUAACACUAACAGGUUUUAAUAAUGCAAUGGAAAGAACCUCAGGCGAGGUGACACUGCCCAUCCUUGCAGGUGGAGUCACGAUGGAAACCACUUUCCACGUGAUGAACCAAGAAACAACAUACAAUGCCAUUAUCGGACGCCCGUGGAUACACNNNNNNNNNNNNNNNNNNNNNNNNNNNNNNNNNNNNNNNNNNNNNNNNNNNNNNNNNNNNNNNNNNNNNNNNNNCGCCAUGAGAGCCGUCCCAUCCAGCUUCUAUCAAGUAAUCAAAUUCCCAACCCCAUGGGGAGUGCACUGCAUACGGGGAGAGCCCCACACCUCCCAAGAAUGCUAUAAGAUAGCCCAGGAUUACACACAUACCAAACAACUCCAAAGAGCAAGUGGAGAAGCAUAGCACUAGGCCAUGUCGGGGACUAACGUUCGUCCGAAAGAGAAUGCCAUCGAAGAUCCUGAGGAGGUCGAGGCUAGCAAGGCCAUGGUCGAAGACCUCGACCCCGUUCAGAUCAAGAGCAGCGACCCCGCAAAGAAAGCAUGCAUAGGCCAGGGCCUAUCAAAUCCAGGUCAAUACCGUAAAUUUUUAUCUAACCAUGCGGAUCUGUUCGCUUUUUCUCAAGCAAAUAUGCCAGGAAUCCCACAAGAAAUCGCCUCUCACAAACUCAACGUCGACCCAUUGCACCCGCCCGUGCGGCAAAUGAGAAGNNNNNNNNNNNNNNNNNNNNNNNNNNNNNNNNNNNNNNNNNNNNNNNNNNNNNNNNNNNNNNNNNNNNNNNNNNNNNNNNNNNNNNNNNNUGAGCGAAGAAGUGGACAAGUUGCUAGCCAAUGGCUCCAUCAGGGAAUCCAAGUACCCGGAAUGGGUCGCCAACGUCGUAAUGGUAAAAAAGAAGAACAGGAAGUGGAGGAUGUGCGUAGAAUUUACUGAUCUAAAUAAAGCAUUCCCGAAAGACUCUUUCUCGCUGCCCCACAUCGACCAGCUGAUAGACGCAACUGUAGGCCAUGAGUUGCUAAGCUUCCUUGACGCGUAUUCCGGCUACAAUAAAAUCAUGAUAGCCGAAGAAGAUCAGGAGAAGACAACUUUUAUCACCCAUCAGGGGACGUAUUGCUAUAAGGUAGAGCUGCUAAGCUAUCUUGACGCGUAUUCCGACUACAAUCAAAUCAUGAUGGCCGAAGAAGAUCAGGAGAAGACAAAUUAUCACCCAUCAGGGGACGCAUUGCUAUAACGUAAUGCCCUCCGGGCUCAAGAACGCAGGGGCCACUUACCAGAGGCUAGUGACGACUAUGUUCAAGGAACAAGUCGGCAAAAUAAUGGAGGUCUACAAUCAUCGAAAAAGGAGGAUCACCUCACCCACCUGAACGAGCCCUUCGAAAUACUAAGGAAGUACGGUAUGAAACUGAAUCUCGAGAAGUGCGAUUUUGGAGUAACGUCGGGAAAGUUCCUGGGAUUUCUAGUAUCACAAAGAGGUAUCAAAGUCAACCCUUACCAGAUCAAAGCCAUAGAGGCCAUCCCAGAAACACUAAGCAACAAGAAGCAGGUGUAGAAGUUAACGGGCCGAAUAGCCGCCCUCUCCUGGUUCAUCUUACGCUUCUCCAACAGAUGCCACAAGUUUUUUGGUGUACUGAAAAAAGACUAGGGACUGCAAUGGAAUAGAGAAUGUGUAGACGCCCUGAUGAUCUUAAAAGAAUACUUAUCAUCACCGCCUCUACUGGUUAAAGCCAACCCCGAAGAACCAUUACUGGUAUAUCUGGCCGUCUCAGAGGUCGCAGUCAGCGUUGUCCUAGUGCGGGAAAACAAAGGUACGCAAUCUCCUAUUUAUUAUAUCAGCAAAACAUUAGUGGACGCCGAAACCCGGUAUACCCACCUUGAGAGAUUAGCCUUGGCACUUGUAGUAGCUCCACGAAAGCUACGACCGCAUUUCCAAUGCCAACCCAUACGGGUGGUGACGACCUUCCCUCUAAGGAGCGUCAUGCACAAACCCGAACUCUCCGGGCGACUCGCCAGAUGGGACGUCGAGCUCAGCGAUCAUGAUAUUACAUACCUCCCAAAAACCGCCAUCAAGUCACAAGUCUUAGCUGACUUCAUCGCCGACUUCAACGCGGAAGUGUUUCCAAAUACGGAACAUGAGGCACAACAUGCAUACUACGAAAAUGACCUAGGUCCUCUAUACGGACGGCGCCUCCAAUGCAUCGGGAUCAGGACUGAGACUCGUUAUCAAAGUCACCAUGGGCAAAACGAUUCGCCAGUCCAUACGAUGCCCGGAAAUGACUAAAAACGAGGCCGAGUACGAGGCCAUUACUGCAGGCAUGAAGCUGGCCACCAAAUAUGGAGCUCACCGAAUUCUCCUCCACUGCGACUCCCAGCUUGUGGUAAACCAGAUCAUUGGGACUUAUCAAAUCAAGGAACAGAGGUUACAAAAGUACCAGUCAGAAAUCCACAGGCUGAUGGCUACAUUCGACGAAUGAUGCUUCGAACAAAUUCCCAGAGCGCGGAAUAUCGAAGCGGACGGCAUGGCGAAGUUGGUUGCUGCCACCAAAAGCAUCAACAAAGAGAGUGUGGUCACACUCCUCCACUCAGCUAUUGAUCACACCGAGGUACUUUGCAAAAAUAUCAGUCAGAAAUCAAUAGGCUGAUGACUCCUUUUAACGAAUGUUGUUUCGAACAAAUUCCCAGAGCCCGGAAUAUUGAACUGGACGGCCUGGUGAAGUUGGUUGCCACCAAAGGCGUCAACAAAGAGAGUGUGGUCACGCUCCGCCACUCAGCUAUCGAUCACACCGAGGUACUUUCCUUAAAUCUGACUUGGGACUGGCGCAACCAGUUCGUAUCUUACUUGCAGGACGGGACACUCCCCCCAUGAUAAAAAAGAAGCAAAAAAGCUCCGCCUACAGGCCGUAAAAUACUGCAUGAUCAACAUCGACCUUUAUAAAAGGACGUUUGGCGGUCCCCUAGCCAAGUGCUUAGGACCGCAACAAGCAAGAUCUGUACUCGAAGAAGUACACGAGGGCCAUUGCAGCGCCCACACUGGCAACCGCGCCCUUGUUAGAUGCAUCAUACACGCCGGCUACUAUUGGCCCACCAUGAAGAAAGAGGCAGCAGAGUAAGUCCGCCGAUGCAAGCAUUGCCAAAAGUUCGCCCCAAUGAUACACUAACCAGGAGAACCCCUCCAUUCCGUCACAUCCCCCGGGACAUACAUCAAGUGGGGAAUGGACAUAGUCGGCCCGCUGCCCCCAGGGCGAGGAAAGGUACGAUUUCUGCUUAUUUUAACUGACUAUUUCUCUAAGUGGGUGGAAGCAGGUGCGUACGCACAAAUACGCGAGCAAGAAGUUAUCACCUUUAUUUGGAAGAACAUCAUAUGCCAUUUUGGCAUCCCCAAAGAAAUCAGUUGCGAUAAUGGGCGCCUCUCUAAGUGGGUGGAAGCAGGUGCGUACGCACAAAUACGCGAGCAAGAAGUUAUCACCUUUAUUUGGAAGAACAACAUAUGCCGUUUUGGCAGCCCUAAAGAAAUCAACUACGAUAAUAGGCGCCGGUUCGUCGGCCAGAAAACGACUGAAUUCUUUGAAAAAUGGCGCAUAAAAAGAAUACUAUCCACGCCAUACAACCCCGUCUCCAACGGUCAAGUGGAGUCCUCCAACAAAACAUUCCUGAACAUACUCAAAAAGAAGCUCGAAGAUGCCAAGGGACUAUGGCCCCAACUAUUACCCGAAGUCUUGUGGGCAAACAGAACCACACCCAAAUCCAGCAUCGGAGAAACCCCAUACUCACUGGUUUAUGGAACCGACGCGGUCAUACCUGUCGAAGUGGGCGAACCCAGCUUAAGGUACUCAUAAACCAGCGGAUCGGAAAAUGACAUCAGCAGACUCCAAGAUCUCGACGAAGCCGAAGAAAGAAGAGAAAUGGCCCACAUCAGAAUGGUAGCUCAGAAACAACAAGUCGAAAGAUACUACAACAAAAGGGCAAAAAAAGGCCUCUCAAAGUAGGGGUUACGUCCUCAAAGCCAAGACUAUGGCCUCAAAAGAUCCAAGCGAAGGAAAAUUGGGAUGGACCCUAAAAAAUCACAGCGACGGCCAGGAAAGGAGCAUUUCAGCUGGAGAUAAUGGAAGGAAAGACACUCCAAAACAACUGGAACGUCGCUCACCUCAAACGUUUCCAGUUAUAAAAAGGUGACACCUGAGUCGUACUCUUUUUCCCUUACCCGAGUUUUGUCCCAAUUGGGUUUUCUCGGGAAGGUUCUUAACGAGGCGGCAAAGGGGCCACCUGGAGAUGUUUUGCAGCGUGACGAGUCGUACUCUCUUUCCCUUACCUGAGUUUUGUCCCAAUUGGGUUUUCUUGGAAAGGUUUUUAACGAGGCGACAAAUGGGCCACCUAGAGAUGUUUUGCAGCAUGAGUGCAUCAUUUCCACCUCUCCAUAUACACUCCAAGCCCGACAUGAUACAUGGACUGGAUUAGUGACAUCUCCAAGUGUAUAAAAGGCUACGACCACCUCCAAGUAUAUAAAAAGGUUACGGCCAUCUCCAGAUGAAUGUAAAGGCUACGGCCAUAUCCAGAUGAAUGUAAAGGCUACUGCCAUCUCCAAAUGAAUGAAAAGGCUACGACCAUCUCCAGAUGAAUGAACAGGCUACGACCAUCAUUUUAUAUGGCUAAGGCCAUCAGGCUACGACCUCUAUUUUACAUGGCUAUGGCCAUCGUUUUAUAUGGAUAAGGCCAUCAGGUUACGACCUCUAUGUUACAUGGCUACGGCCGUCGUUUUAUAUGUCUAAGGCCAUCAGGCUACGACCUCUAUUUUAGAUGUCUAUGGCCAUCGUUUUAUAUGGCUAAGGCAAUCAGGCUAUGGCCUCUAUGCUACGUGGCUACGACCAUCGUUUUAUAUGGCUAAGGCCAUCAGGCUACGACCUCUAUGUUACAUGGCUACGGCCAUCGUUUUAUAUGGCUAAGGCCAUCAGGCUACGACCUCUAUUUUACAUGGCUAUGGUCAUCGUUUUACAUGGCUAAGGCCAUCAGGCUACGACCUCUAUGUUACAUGGCUACGACCAUAAUUUUAUAUGGCUAAGGCCAUCAGGCUACGGCCUCUAUUUUACAUGGCUAUGCCCAUCAUUUUAUAUGUCUAAGGCCAUUAGGCUACGACCUCUAUUUUAUGUGGCUAUGGCCAUCGUUUUAUAUGGCUAAGGCCAUUAGGCUACGUCCUGAAUUUUACAUGGUUAUGACCAUUAUUUUAUAUAGCGAAGGCCAUCAGGCUACGGCCCGAAUUUUAAAUGGUUAUGGCUAUUAUUUUAUCGGGCUACGGCCUUUAUCUGUACACGGCUAGAGCCAUCGUACUCACAAGGCUACGACCGCCUAUUUUAUAUAGCUAAAGCUAUCAGGCUAAAUUUACACAGCUAUGGCCGACGAAUUUCAAGCAGCUACAUUAAAGAAAAAUACGAUGACACACUGAAAGGUGGAAAAGAUUACUUACAAUAAAAAUUAUAUCUUUUCACAAAGGGGAACACCCCUGAUACAAAAUCAGAAUGAACAAGUAUAUUCACAAAGACCCCAAGAAACCACUACUUAUCUAGCCCUGCCUGGCACUCAGGUGGCCCGUCCUCAUUACCGGGAGGGUACGCCCUGGAAAUCCAAGAAUUGGACUCCAAGCGAUUGAUGUCCACUGAGUUGCCCCCCUCCCGGGCUGGUGAUUCAGGAUCGUAGCCCGCCGCCUCAUGAGCGACUCCAACUAGUUGGCACUGGUUCUCAACCUCCACUUCUGACGCCCGACCAGCCGCCAGAAUUCUUCAAGCACGACCAGCCUGGCCUCCGCAUACACCCACAUCUCGUGCGCCUCACGAGACAUAUCGGCUUGCGCGAGAUCUAGCUUAUGCUCCUCAACCUUGGCCCUCGUGGCUUUGAGUUCCUCUGUUAGAGCCGCCACCCGGGUGCACAAUUUUGCCGCUUCCUCCGCCACGACAUGAUCGAGCUGCAACUCCUCGUCCUUGGACUCGAUAAGGACCUCCAUCUCCGCGGCCCGAGUAACAGCGGCCAUGAGCUGUUCAUCCACCUUUUCCAGCUCGGCCACUCUUUUCUUCAAUUGCGCCUCAGACUCUACUAGGCCCUCACGAACCACUCUGAAGUUGAGGUCCUGCUUGUACAUGUCAUCCAAGGUUUGAUAUGUCUCCCGCACCUUAUUGUACUUCUGCGCCAGCGGUUGUAUUUGGCCAUCUUCUCUUUUCGGCGCCGAUCCAUCUCCACCUCCAAGACAAGAGUCUGGAAAAAAGACCGAGUAAGUACGGUAAGAACAUAGCCCUGCGUAAAGAAAGGUCAUCAAGCAAGGCAGAGGCAUACAUGUAGCGUCGCGCCUGCCACCCUUUGGGCCAAGGAUUUAUCACUAAACUCCGUAGGGUCACGCGCUCGGCACUAGCGCACAAGAGCGUCGUGCUGGAGGCCAGCCUCUUCACAGUUCUCCAGAAAAUUAUAGUGACUUGGGAUCACAAUACGAUGAGAAGAUUGGUCGCCAUCAUCUCCACCCGUUCCACGGACCUUCCUCCUCUGUAUGCGCACUCCAUGGCUGCCCCCGAGCUCGCCACAUCCAUGUCCUCACUUCUCCCUGCCGCGACCUCCCUCCUAAGAUCAGCCCUUCCUGAGCAAAUGGCCUCUGCCAUAAAGGCCGACCUUGAUACAGGGAAAGACGAUCUAGCCUUUCCUGACUGGGUGGCCACGAAUUUGCAAGUAAGGAUUCGACGUUGCCUCCUCUCCAACGUCUCCUCCUCUUCAUGGUCCCCCUCCGUAGGGUGCAAAGCAGGCUCAGAGGGGGUCGGCACGGCAGAAGGCAUCCUUACGGAGGUAGUAUCAGGGACAACUGCCGGCACCUCUAUGGGCACCGCCUCUGGUACGACCCCCGUCAUGGCCUCAGAUGUUAUCUCUGGGGCGAAGCACUGCCCCUGGAAGUGCCAACGAAGAUCAGAUCCGCCUCAGGAUCGGAUGCCGUCUUAGAAGGACCCGCUGCAGUCUUCUUCUUCUUCUUCUUCUUCCUCGCCUUCUUAGAGGCGCCCCGACCUACCAAAACAUAUGAGAGACGGGUAAGGAAAUUAUAUGGGCCCCUAAACCAUAACUAAGAUUAGGUAAAUCUGUUACCAACCGGACAGUGGACCCUAAGAAAUUCAGUCCAAGAACGGCUUUCCUGUGCAAACGGUAUCAGCGCCUGCACCCACGACCUAAUGUCGUCAACACUACGAGGAGGACGAGCAGCCACUGCAUGAAAACAAAGGAAAACUUUCGACAGUAAGAACCAGUAAGGUAAGUUCAAGAUAGUAAACAUCACACACAUCAAUACUUUCAUGUGUCAUUCCACACUUCUGGAAACCCAUUAGGGUUGGGCACAAGGUGUUCGGUACGGACAUAGAAGAACCUCGUCCAUUAUUUACGAUUGGCCUUGUCGUCCACCUGUGCCACGAAGCUUUUUCUGACCCUACUCCUCAACUGGAGCAUCGAGCCUCUCAUGAAAACCACAUUGAACAUGUGCAAAAGGUGAUGAACGGUUACCUCCUUUUCGGCCUUCGCCGCAUAAACAGAUACUACCCUGCACACCAAUAAGGCAUACGAGGUAAGCUGGGCCGGACACACUCCGAACCAGCGACACAACUCCUCCGCUAAUGGGUAAAUUGGAAGGGUGUAUCCAAUUUGGAACGCAUAUUCGUGGAAGGCACAAUACCCGGUCCUAUGCACGUUAGCGUAAUCUAGCCGCGCGGGAACCAUGUCAACAUGGUCAGGAAUAUCACACGUCUCCCUGAGAGAGGCCAAGUGGGACAUCGUCAUCUCACUAUGCUCCCAAGGUCAGACUUUACGCUUAUUUAGAAAAUCGCUCCUUUUGCUCAUAUCGCGUGGAAGCAGGUUGGCCGUUGAAAGAGGAACAAAAACCUCCUCGGCCUCCUCGCCGUCCGAGGAUGACGAGGCCCUGGUGAAAGCGACGUCCCUGGUUCUGGUAUCAUCACGCCUACGUUUAGCCAUAGUGAAUGAUGUAAGAAAAAGGUAUUACGGGUCGCAAGUUCGAGUCCUGAGAAUGAGAAAUUCAGAGAAGAAAGGAAUAGCAAACACCAGAAAAAGAUGGGGAAAAUAUGAGGAAAUAUUCUCCGAAAAUGAUCGAAAGAUGAAUCUAGUCCAACUCUCCACCUAUUUAUAAGAAAAGGUAGACGGAAAUUGAAAGGACAUGAUUCAAAAAAUCGGAGUAGGAAACCCAAACGUCACGUCAUAACCUGAACCACCUGAAAAGGAUCGAAAGAUGAACUUAGUCCAACUCUCCACCUAUUUAUAAGAAAAUGUACACGGAAAUCGAAAGGACAUGAUUCAAAAAAUCGGCGCAUGAAACCCAAACGUCACGUCAUAACCCAAACCACCUUGGGAGCAGAAGUAAUGAUCACACAUGUGAUCGAUGAUGUCACCUCAAAAAGAAAUUCCCAAAAGGAAGGUAACAUGUCAACGACAUGACCUCUUCAUACAACGAGCAUGUCUCUUACAAGAGUAUCAGCAGGAACGACCAAAUUUCCAUAGGCGUCGAGCAAGUAAGUCCGUCUAUUGGGAACGCCCUUCAGCCGCUCCCCAAUAAACGGAGGGACUAUCUGUAUUGGGCAAAUUUGGUUCCUCACGCCCAUAUGCUAUCCACAUACGGCCUCACUAGAGAAAGCGACCUUAGCAAGGUCGACCUAAGCAGGACCGGCCUCAGUCGACAAACAGACUAAGUGACAAGACUCGCUGCAACGUCACAUUAAGCUCUGACACUCGUAUACCGAGGCCACCAACUCUCAUACUUUCUUUGUAUUAUUUCGAGGAAGGUCCCUUAAUAUAUAAAGGUAACCUUCCCUUUUGUAAAGACUCAUAUGUAUUUCAUUACUGAAAAUAUACAAUUCUCUCUAUCUGAUCCUCUUUCUAUCUCUCUCUGGUGAAAAAUUUGAUAUUUUUCUCGUUGUUCUUAUAUCUUAGUCAUUUCACAAUCUUUAGACCAUAUUACACUUGAUUCCGAUUGACUCAAAUGAUUUUUGAUUAUUUUCAAGAUAUACAAAGUGUUCGAAUAACUUUUUAGCCAAACAACCACUACAUCUACUUUUUUGGUUCAUUUCUCACAUUUGACCGUUAGGUCAAUAGAAUUAAAAAUAAUUUUUAAACUAUAUUUUUGGCUAUAAUUUUUAUAUAGCUCUAACUUACGGUGCUCUAAUAUAUAUAUAUAGAUUUUACCUAAACAAAACAAAAAUAUACAGUUAAAAUAAAUAGUCAUUGCAUAAAAAAGGAAUAAAAAGAGUAUUUUGAUGCUUUGACUAUUUAAUUUUUAUGACUUUUUAGAUGCCUUGACUGUUUAUUUCAAAUAUAUAAAUCUUUAUUUUCAGGUCAAAUUCAAAAAGAUAUUAACUAAAAACUUUAUUAUUUUUUGCCAAAUAAAAAUAUUUAGCCUACAUAAUGUAGGUCUAUCCAAGUUUUAUUAUAAAUUGUAUUCGAAUUUUUUAUCUAAAAUGUUAUAUUCUUAAAACGGUAAACAUAUAUUUAUUUUUCAAAAAAAAUCACAUAUGCAUAAAAAUUCAUGCAGCAUGUGAGUGCACCUAUACUUUUUGCCACAUCAGUAUCUAGGGGUUAAUAUCUCACAAAAGGCCAAGUUGAGGGGUAAUUAAUUAGGCGUUUGGACAUAAAAAUUGUAAAAUUCAAAACAAUAAUGAUUUUUUUCAAGUAAAAAUAAUAUUUAAAAUUUAGAAUUGUGUUUGGACAUCAACUUAUAUUUGAGUUGUUUUUGAAGAUUUUUAAGUGAUUUGAGUGAAAAUUUAAUAAAAUUGCAAAAAGAAAUUUUUCAAAUUUUCAAAAUUCAUCUUCAAGUAAAAAAUUAAAAAUUUUAUGAACAAACGCUAAUUUCGAAAAAAUAAACAUAUUAUUUGUAGAAAAUUCUUCAAUCAAAUUUUAUGAGCAAGUGGGCUCUAAGAUCAAAACUAGUCCGGGAGGAUACUAAUAAUCUGUGUUAAAUUUUGGGGCGAUUUAGGUAUUUUGCCUUUUAAAAAUUGUAAUUUCCUAACACACAUCCGGUUCUAUCUUUUUAUGCGCCCCCCCUCCCCCUCACCAACCCAUACCCGUUUCUUAUACCCAAAAAGGCUUGGGUUUAAACAAAUUAGGAUCAAGUUGAGGGGUAAUUAAUUAGGCGUUUGGACAUAAAAAUUGUAAAAUUCAAAACAAUAAUGAUUUUUUUCAAGUAAAAAUAAUAUUUAAAAUUAGAAUUGUGUUUGGACAUCAACUUAUAUUUGAGUUAUUUUUGAAGAUUUUUAAGUGAUUUGAUUGAAAAUUUAAUAAAAUUGCAAAAAGAAAUUUUUCAAAUUUUCAAAAUUCAUCUUCAAGUAAAAAAUUAAAAAUUUUAUGAACAAACGCUAAUUUCGAAAAAAUAAACAUAUUAUUUGUAGAAAAUUCUUCAAUCAAAUUUUAUGAGCAAGUGGGCUCUAAGAUCAAAACUAGUCCGGGAGGAUACUAAUAAUCUGUGUUAAAUUUUGGGGCGAUUUAGGUAUUUUGCCUUUUAAAAAUUGUAAUUUCCUAACACACAUCCGGUUCUAUCUUUUUAUGCGCCCCCCCUCCCCCUCACCAACCCAUACCCGUUUCUUAUACCCAAAAAGGCUUGGGUUUAAACAAAUUAGGAUUUGAUUUCUAUCUCUAUCUUCGUUCCCAGUCGUCAGUACUCAGUGGCCAUGCUUACUUCUCUAACACAUACGAUGAAUUCAACUAUUUCAUCGAUCUUAACUAUUUCACAAAUUUCUACAAUUUACUUUACACAUAUUAUUAUAUACUGAUGUUUAUUUUUGUUUUUUUGUGAUGUGGAAGUUAUCAACAAAAAAAAAACAGCCGCAGGGAGAUUAUAUAGAGUUACACAGGAAGAGAUUUGGUCGUCGCCAUGAUCACGAGGAGCGUAAACGUAAGAGGGAGGCUCGUGAAGUUAAGGAGCGCUCCCAAAAAGCCCAAAAGGUCCCUCUUUUUUAUCCUAAUUAUAUUUCUCUCUUUUUUUCAGUUCCUAAUUAUAUUUCAAACCCCCUCUUUUUUGUAUGAAUUUUUUUUGCUUAAUUUUCUCUGUUUUGAAAAACAGACGUUAGGUAUUAAGGGUAAAAUGCUUGCUAAGAAGCGAUAUGCUGAAAAAGCCCAAAUGAAGAAAACGUAAGGUCAUCUUAAUUGUGUAAUUACCAGUUUACUAUUUAUUGGGAUUGUGUGAAAAAUACAAAAAAAAAAAGAAAAAGAUUUUUAUUGUGUUAAAAAUUCAAAAAUAAAAUAAAAUUGAUCUUUAUUGGAAAAGGUCCAAUAAUAUAAACUAUGGUAUAUAACUCACUUUUGUCCUCCAUUAGUUAACUGGGCCAAAAAUUCAUGCUCCCUUUUCCACGCACUCACCCAUGUCACUACAAAGUGUCUAAUUGGCACAAAUGUGAUUUAGUUGAAGGGCCUGACAGGAACAACUCCUUGUUUAAGUGCCCAGGUGACCAAAAAGGCCAAGUUUAAGGGCCCAGUUAUGUUUUUUGCCUUUUUUAAAAUCAGUUAUGUGAUACUUGGUGCUUAUUUGGUCCUUAUGGGUGAGACGCAUGAUGUGAUUCUACGCACUGAAGCAUGUACCAGUUUAUUAAUGAAACAAAGGAUGGUAACUUUGUAGCAGAAUUUCUGAAAUUCUAUCCAGUUAACAGCUUUUCUUUCUUUGAAUAGAUUGGCUAUGCAUGAAGAGUCAUCGAGUCGUCGCAAGGUUGACGAUGAUGUGCACGACGGUGCUAUCCCUGCAUAUCUGAUGGACCGUGAAACGACCACAAGAGCUAAGGUAUGUUGAGUGCGAUGCAACAGUGAACUUCUUGUCUUUUUACUCAAGUGGUGGUAACAUUCAGCACUGGAGCACAUAGAAAAGCAUUACAAAUUUAUUGGUCCCAAGGAUACCUUAAUAGCCCAUGUUCAAUCUCCAGGAGAAUCUAGGUAUGGUUUCAAUAGUUUCAGGCCUUCUUUAUUACGAGAUCUUAAGUUACUUUCUUCCUUUGUCACUAGGUUUUCUUAGAUAAUAUUACUGUAGUGUCCUGUUUCUCAAAGUAUCUACUAUCAUUUUAGAAAUGCAUACGAAAUAAUGCAGACUACAUUAAAUUACGAUUUCCAUGGUAUUACGCUGAAACCAAAUUACUAAUUAAUGGAGCUUCAAUAGGAUAUUUAAUGGAUGAACUCAUUGUAUCAUUAUUUUUUGCUAAUCUUGAGAUUCAUUCCUGUAGAAGCCAACUAAAGUUUAAAGCCCUGCAUGUUUUUUUUUUUUGCUGUAGCAUCUCUAUGGCACUCUCUAUGCAUUUGGAAACAAAAAUUAUUUGGAGUUUUGAAGUUUCCCAUGAAUUCAGCCCUAUGGGAGAUGCUAAAGCUUUCCGAUGAAUGCAUGGUAUAGAAGCAGAACCAAUGUUUUUUUUUGUUGCAUUCUCCUUCAGCCCUCUGGUGGAUCCUAAAGCUCUUGGACUGAUGCAUGGUAUAGAAGCCGAAUCAACCUGUUAUUUUGCAUUCCUUUUAUAUUGGGUGUGAGAGCAUUAUGAUGAUAUAUGAAUGAGAUCUUUUUUCUUAAUUCUUUUUCCGUGGUUUGAACUUUGGACAUGACAGCAUUCAAGUUUAUCAGCACUGUGUCACUGGUGGCAUGACUACCACAACUGAUACAGGUUUUGUCAAGGAAAAUGAUCUCUUGACAGUUUUUCUUUUCUUUGGUCCUGUUACAUAACAGGAUUGUGUUAAGUUACAGGUUACGCCAUUGUUGCACCUAUGCUGGCUUCAUCAGUGAAGUGGAUAGCCAUACUCCAUACUAUACGCAAUCGAUCUUCCAGUGGUGAAAAACACUACCCUCCCCAGACCCCACUAAGUGGGAUUAUAAUGGGUUGUUGUUGUUGUUGGUGGUGGUGGUAACAUGAACAUAGACUGUUUAUACUGGUUUUAAAUGUUAAACUUUCUGUGUAGAUUCUUAGCAACACAAUAAAGCAAAAGCGGAAAGAGAAAGCUGGAAAAUGGGAGGUGCCUCUGCCUAAGGUAAAAAGUCUUUACGUUACUCAUCCUAUACUGUCUCUGUAUGGUUUUCACCCUUGUCCAGUGUGUUCAUAUUUCUUUCUAAUUGUGUUCCUGUGCAAUUGAAUGGUCCAUCAAUUCUGGAAUAAUGACAUCUUUCUGUCUCUCUUUGUUUGACUGGUCACAAAUAGAGAUACUUCUUACUUCAGUUUGCUCUCGUUUAACUGCACUUUUGAUUUUUUCGUCCCACAUAGAAUUCGUUUGGCUAGAGCAAUAAUUCUUAUUUGUUUUCUUAGACAAGUAUACUGUUCUUCCACUGAAAAUAGAUGGCGCACAAAGGCUCAUCAUCUCCCAUUGUAUAUGAGCAGCACUUUAAUUCCUUUUGUGGGUAAAUGUCCGUGAUCUUUCGUUUACUUAAUUUGCUUUCUAAUAAGAUGCUUCACCUUAUAGGUUAGGCCUGUGGCUGAGGAUGAGAUGUUCAGAGUGAUAAGAUCUGGCAAAAGGAAGAGUAAGUAUUCUACAAUCCUUAUUUCGUUUUCUGUUGGCUAGCCUGUAUUUACAGGUUUUUGACCAUGUCCAGGUUCUUGAUUUCAGCUCCUCGCUCAUGUCCUUUGUUGCUUUAUUUGUUGUCUUUAGGAUAAGUAAGAGUCGCUUUUUGACCGUUUUGAUUUGUGCUCAUCUUUGCAGCAAAGCAGUGGAAGAGAAUGGUUACAAAAGCCACCUUUGUCGGGGCAGGGUUUACCAGGAAACCUCCAAAGUAUGAGCGGUGCAUCCGCCCAUCAGGCUUACGGUUCAGUAAAGCCCACGUGACACACCCUGAACUUAAAUGCACAUUCAACCUUGAGAUCAUCGGGGUGAAGAAGAAUCCUAAUGGUCCAAUGUAUACUUCACUUGGUGUUAUAAUCAAGGGUACCAUCAUUGAGGUAAUCUUCCCUUUUCAACACUGCACCCAUUUUUAUCUAGUUUGGCUUGCAUUCCUAAAUGUCUUGCUAUAAAAUCCAGGUUAAUGUCAGUGAACUUGGUCUUGUCACUCCUGCUGGGAAAGUUGUAUGGGGUAAGCGAUGCUUUACUUAGAUGUUACACUUCCCGGAUUCUUUUGUCCUUCAAAUUCUGAUGAUUCAUUUAUUGGAUGGUUGAAUGCAGGCAAAUAUGCUCAAGUGACGAAUAAUCCUCUUUAUUAUGAUGUUACACUUCCUGGAUUCUUUUGUCCUUCAAAUUCUGACGAUUCAUUUUAUUGGAUGGUUGAAUGCCAGGUAAAUAUGCUCAGGUGACGAAUAAUCCUGAAAAUGAUGGUUGUAUCAAUGCAGUUCUCCUUGUGUAGUACCUUCUAGUAGAGAAAAUUUUGGUAAUUAUUUUAGAAGGGAACAAUUAUAUUGUCUGGAAAUGAACUUUGCUGUAACUCCAGUAGAAAACCUCUGUGCCUUUGUCAUCAACAUCACCUUGUUUUUUCUCCUUGUUGCAAACAACUCCCCUCUAUGUAUCCUCUUUAAUUCAUUUGUUUGUUCCCUUACACAUGCAGCAACAUCUAUCCAGCUUGAAAUAUGGGAAAUUAUGUUACUUCAUCAUAAUAUUCUAAAGGCCUAUUUGGUUUCUUAUCAUCAAAUUCUAUAGACAUCAUAAUAUUACUACAACAACAAACAACCAGUAUAAUCCCACAAGUGGGGUCUGGGAAGGGUAAUAUGUACGCAGACCUUACCUCGGGGUCAGGGUAGAGAGUUUGUUUCCAGGAGAUCCUCGGCUCAAGAAAGCAACAAGAAACGUUAUAUUAGUACUAUCAAUAGACUCAUAAUAAAAUAGUCAAAAUACAUAAAUUAUCACCUGAACUAUGGAUCAAAUUCCUGUUAUACACUUUUUAAGACGAAAAUUACUUUACCCACUCAACCUUUUUAAAAUAUGUCUAAAAUAUACCUUUUUUUCUUGACCAGCUUACUAAAUUAUGUUUAAUGUCACGCACCUAUAAGGUUGUGACAUGUGUCAUUAACUUAAAAUAAUAAUAAUACAAUUAUAAAAUUACACAUAUAUCAUCAUCUUCUUCAACUCCAUCUCUUCCAUUUCCAUCUCCCCUUCCGACGACUACCACAAAAAUCAGAACCACAAGAGAUAAUGCACAGAUAAUGGGACCUUUAACAUACAGUACAAAACCCAAAACAAAUUCCAAUUUAUUGAUCAAGAUAAUUCCAAGACAAAAAAAACAAAUUUCAGUCAAUAUUAAUCUCGAUCAUAUACUAAAAUCUGGAGAGAGAGAGAGAGGCUUAUAUGAGUUUUCGAUUUAAUGUCGAAGAAUUUGUAUGGAGAUUAUAAUCAAAAGAUUAAUUAUAUUUUCAAGAUUGUUUUAAUUGGAGAUUCUGCAGUUGGAAAAUCUUAGCUUUUGGCUAGACUUGCAAGGGAUGAGUUUAGCUUAGAUUCAAAGGCUACAAUUUAGGGGUGAGUUACAGAUUUUUGGGGAUGGGGAACGAGGAAGAAGAAGAGAAGAAGGGGGUGGGGGUCCUGUGGACCAUUGACUUAAAAAAUAAAAAAUAAUUUUUUCCUGACAUCUGACACUUCUAACACUCAUAUCUUUUUGGUUACAGGCGCCUGCCACGUAGCAAAAGGGGGUGUCUUAGGCACACUCGAAAAGGUUGAGUGUGUAAUGAAUCGCUUGUGCUCAGAAAAUGUGUCACAGAGAUUUGGUCCUAAGGUCAGGGGGUAAACUAUCUUCUUAAUUAAAUAAUAUAAAAUAACAUAAAAUUUAUAACAUAACAUAAAAUAUCAUAAAAUAACAAAAACAAUAGAAAUAUAAGAAAUAUAGGAAAUACAAAAAAGAUGUAAAGUAUAUUAGGUAUGGGCAUCGGUCGGUUCGGUUCGGUUCUGUUUUGAACAUUAUCGGUUUUGCCUGUCGGUUAUCGGUUUACAAAUAUCAUAACCCGAUAGCCAAAUCGAUAAGAUAUUGGUUAUCGGUUAAUCGGUUAUAUAUCGUUAUCGGUUUACCCGAUAAGAUAAAACAACUAAAUUUUUUUGCAAUAUAUAGAACAAAGAAAUCAAAAUGCCAGAAGGUAUAAACUGUAAACUGUCAACUUUUGUUGUUUCUUAACAAAAAGACGCUCCCACAUUUGUGCAGUAUCUACUGAUACACACCAUGGAUCAACAUCAUAUAGCACAAAAUUACCUAUGUUAACUCAAAUUGAAUAUUAAAAAAUUGAUGCUCAUCUAACCAGAAAUUUCAGCAGAAGAAUCAAAGCACACUUUCAUUAUUCAGGAAAAAAAUGAUAUAUCAAAACCAAUCAAAGAAAAAAUCUGAUAUACCAAAUACUACAAGAUCAUUCUCAAAAAUAACUUAAGACUACAAGAUGCCUACUACAAGACUCACAUAUAUAAUUGAUAGCCUGUUACAUAUUACUGGGUAAUGUGAAGGUUAGCAAAAAUCAAAACAAUUAACAAGAAGCAAACAGAAAAAUCUUGAGCCAAAACUUACACGAUACGAUUGACGAGUGAGGAAGUGAGCCGUCGUGACUGGCGGAGAACUGGUGAGGUACUGGUGUCUGGCGGAGAACUGGUGAUGAGUCUUGCGUCUUGACUCUUGGGGGCUGCGGCAGAAACAAGAUGAGAACUGAGAGACAGGCAACUGAAGACUGAAGAGUGAAGCGGGAAUUAUGAAAAUAAAACCCUAGUAUAUACUUAAGGGAAAAUUAGUAAAUUAAUUUAUUAUUAUUGGGUUAUAGGUUUUUACCCAAUAAUAAAAAUGCAAACCGAGCCCAAACCGAUAACCCAAUAAAAAAAUUAACCUGUUACCGAACCAUUAACCAAUAACCCAAUACCGAUAACUCAAUAAAGAAUUAACAAUUUAGGUUAUUGAUUUUAUCCGAUAUAUGCCCACUCCUAAAGUAUACUAAUAACCAACAGAUAAAGCCCAUCAUCAGUAGCAUCCUAAGACUAACUCAUGACUGGCUAGUCUCACUCUAGUGCAGUUGUAGAAAUAUUCACAACCUUUCCCUAACAUACAACCUUAAUGCUCGACCUCCACAAUUCCCUGUUAAGGGUCAUGUCCUCAGUAAUCCUAAGUCGCGCCAUGUCUUGCCUGAUCACCCAUCCCCUAUACUUUUUAAGUCUCUCUCUACCUCUCCUCGUGCCCACCACAACCAGUCGCUCACACCUCCUUACCGGUGCAUCAGUGUUCCUCCUCUGAAUGUGCCCGAACCAUCUGAGUCUUGCUUCCCGCAUCUUGUCCUCUAUGGGGGCCACACUCAUAUUCUCUCAAAUAUCUUCAUCCUAAUCUUAUCUAUCCUUGUAUGCUCACACGUCCACCUCAACAUCCUCAUCUCAACAACUUUCAUCUUCUGGAUGUGUGAGUUCUUAACCGGCCAACACUCGAUCCUAUAUAACAUGGCAGGCCUAAUCACUACCGUAUAAAAUUUACCUUUCAGUAACGGUGGCACUUUCUUAUCACACAGGACUCUCGUCGCUAACCUCCACUUCAUCCACUCCCACCCUUACACGGUGUGUGACAUCCUCGUCGAUCUCCCCGGUACCCUGAAUAACUAACCCAAUGUACUUGAAACUACCCCUCUUAGGGAUGACUUGAGAAUCAAGCCUCACUUCCACUCCCGCUUCCGUCGGCUUGGCCCCAAAUUUGCACUCGAGGUAUUCCGUCUUCGUCCUGCUCAACCUGAAACCUUUUGACUCAAGGGCAUGUCUCCAAGCCUCUAGCCUCUCGCUGACGCCGCGUCAUAUCUCGUCAAUUAGGACUAUGUCAUCAUCAAAUAGCAUGCAUCAUGGCACUCUCCCCUUGAAUAUGAUAUGUUAUGGCAUCCAUCACAGGGCAAACAGGAAAGGGCUGAACGCAGACCUUUGGUGCAACCCCGUAACAACCGAAAAAUGCUCGGAGUCGGCUCCUUCUGUCCUAACCUUGAGUCUUAGCUCCAUCAUACAUGUUCUUAAUCACCUAAUGUAGGUAACCGAGACCCUUUUAUCCUCAAAGCAGCUCCAUAAGAACUCCCUAGGAAUCCUGUCGUAUGCUUUCUCUAGAUCGAUAAAUACCAUGUGGAGAUCCUUCUUCUUAUCCUUAUAUUGUUCCACGAUCCUCCUAAUGAGGUGGAUAGCUUCUGUCGUACAUCGCCCCGACAUAUACCCGAAUUGGUUAUCUGAAAUAGACACUAUCCUUUGCACUCUCAUUUCUAUCACUCUUUUCCAGACUUUCAUGGUAUGACUUAGUAAUUUGAUAACCCUAUAGUUGUUACAACUAUGGAUAUCGCCUUUGUUCUUAUACAACGGAACCAUUGUACUCCACCUCCACUCAUACAUCCUAUUAGUCUUGAAUAUAACAUUAAACAACCCAGUAAGCCAUUCCAAGCUUGCUCUACCCACACACCUCCAAAGUUCAACCGGAAUUUCAUCUGGCCCGGUAACUCUGCCCUUCCUUAUCUUACGCAUUGCCUCCAUGACCUCAUCGACCUCGAUGUCCCUACAAUCACUUAAUUCAUGGGAGCUGUCGGUAUUCCCCAAUUCACCUAGUACAAUAUCCUGAUCCCCUUCCUCAUUUAGAAGUUUAUGAAAGUAGGUCUGUCAUCUCCUCUUAAUCUGGUCAUCCCCCAUCAAAAUUUUGUCAUCCUCAUCUUUUAUGCACCUCACCUGGUCCAGAUCCCGAGCCGCCCUCUCUCUCAGCUUAGCGGAAGAGAUAAAUUUAGCCGAAUAAUAUAACGAAGGUUAAAUGUAAACAAUAUUCAAAAGUAAAGUGGUAUAUUUGGUCAUUUUCCAUCAUCAUCUUUUAUGCACCUCACUUGGUCCAGAUCCCGAGCCGUCUCCUCUCUCAGCUUAGUGAGUCGGAAUAACUUCUUCUCCCUGCCUUUGUUCCCUAAUUCCUCAUACAAACAAGCAAAAACUGUCGUCUUAGCCUCCGCCACUGCUAUCUUUGCCUCCUUCCUAGCUACUUUAUAUCUCUCAAUGUUCGCUCUCUUCUUCUCCUCGUCGGUGCUCCCUGCUAACCGCAGGUAAGCUGCCUUUUUCGCUUUCACUUUACGUUGGACAACUGCAUUCUACCACCAGUCUCCUUAGAGGCCACCGGUGCGAUCUGAAGAUAUCCCUAAUACCUCUCUCGUCGCCUUCCUUAUAUAAUCCGCCGUCGUCGACCACAUAGUGUUCAUGUUCCCACUACUUUUCCAAGCUCCCACAAUACAUGAAUUAUAAUAUUGUAAGUUAAUUAUGUUGGAUUUACUCAUGUUAUUCAUAUGUUCGCAUAUACCACAUCACUUGGUCCAAUUAGAUUUAGGUUACUGCCAUUUAUCCAAAAUAUAUUUUAAUGAUAGACAUUCAAAGCAGACUAAUUCAGCAUAACAGUUUCAAAACAUAUUUUUUAGACCUUAUGACUUGUGACUAAGGGGCUGUUUUGUUAAAAGGUCUAGGAGAAUAAACCUUUUGAUAAAAUGCUGCAUAAGAUAAUCAAAUUUUGAUUGGAGAGAUUAGAAAAAGAUAAUUCCCACAUAAGUAAUGCAUGUUUAACCCAAUGCUGGCAAUAUCAUAACUUCAAUGCACAAGCUUCAUAUGGGGCGAUGGGUGGUGGUAGUGCCGGUUUAAAUAAAUGCGGGACAAUGUGGGUUUAAGGCUAGGUAGUGCCGGUGGAUGUGAGACGAAUUGAAAUAACUUUUUAAUAACAAAUAUAGUACAAUAUUGAUUUCGAUUCUAAUUUUGCGUUCGUAUUGAACGGGAUCAACACCAAUAGUGGGUCCAUCGACAUUUUCAUAAAGAAGAAAAUAAUUUCAGGGAUUCUCAAUGUUAAUUGAUGAACUACUUUAGAUUUUUAUUUUGUGUUUAAUCCAUUCCAAUUUCUCUUUUAACGAAAAAACAUUCUGUAUCUACUAGUACUACUAGUAUCUAGUUUAUAAGACAUACAACUUGAUUUACAGUGAGGGUUUUUGGUUUUUUUAAGCUUUUAAUAAAUAAGCAACUUGAUCUCCAUUAGAUAUUUAUCAUGAUAGUUAAAUUUAACCGAAAAUGUACUAGCAAUAAGAUUUCACCAAAAAAUUCCAUCAAAAUUCCAAAAGUCGUUGCACAAAAAAACUACACCAAGCACAAAAAAUUGUACCUCAAGUUGCAUUAGACUUCAAAAAUAGAUAAAAAAAAAAAAGAAAAAACCGCAAAAAAGACACGUUUAGAUAAGAUUUUCUUUUACUAUUUUCAGUUUUCAAAUUUUCAGGAAAAUUUUAAUAAUUUCAGACCCUACAGUGUGGAAUAAGACGGUUAUGUUAUUGUUGUUGUUGCCAGCUAAAUUUUAACAAUUCGAGUAUGAUGAAUAGCUGACAAAGACCAAAUGUGCUCCUAUUGAUAAAAUUAAAUGACCAAAACUGUUAAGGUGAUACCUGAGGGAACCUACAAUUAAAAUUUUAAAAACACAUACCUCCAUAUUUUUUAUACAAGGUACGUAUAAGCUUCCCCCUCAAAUAGGGGUGUUCAAAACCGAUCCGAAACCGAAAACCGAUCCAAACCGAAGCUUAACGGCUNNNNNNNNNNNNNNNNNNNNNNNNNNNNNNNNNNNNNNNNNNNNNNNNNNNNNNNNNNNNNNNNNNNNNNNNNNNNNNNNNNNNNNNNNNNNNNNNNNNNNNNNNNNNNNNNNNNNNNNNNNNNNNNNNNNNNNNNNNNNNNNNNNNNNNNNNNNNNNNNNNNNNNNNNNNNNNNNNNNNNNNNNNNNNNNNNNNNNNNNNNNNNNNNNNNNNNNNNNNNNNNNNNNNNNNNNNNNNNNNNNNNNNNNNNNNNNNNNNNNNNNNNNNNNNNNNNNNNNNNNNNNNNNNNNNNNNNNNNNNNNNNNNNNNNNNNNNNNNNNNNNNNNNNNNNNNCUAUCUUUAAUUUAUUUUUGGUUGUAAUCCUCCUGUUUGGCAAUAUGCCGGAGAUGGUAAAGCUAAUUUCCUAAUCACGAGAAUUAAAUUGAGUGACUCUGGCAAAGAAAAUUGAAUGCAUCAUAUUGCCUCUAAAAUAUUAUUUUUUAUGGCAAUUCAUUAUUUCUAAGACGAAGAGAAUAANNNNNNNNNNNNNNNNNNNNNNNNNNNNNNNNNNNNNNNNNNNNNNNNNNNNNNNNNNNNNNNNNNNNNNNNNNNNNNNNNNNNNNNNNNNNNNNNNNNNNNNNNNNNNNNNNNNNUAGAGCUAACCCGAUACCAAUCCGCCCGAUAUCUUAUCGGGUGGCUAAUGGAUUAAUACAUUUAAAAGCCGAUAACCGUUAAGCCAAACUGUUAAGAAUAAAAGCCGCCCAAUCCGCCCAAUGAACACCCCUACCCUCAAAUACCGAAAGCUUUGAUACACAUUAUCAGGUUUUCCCAUACGAUGCUGAAAGGGCGGGAAACUUUAAUCCGAUUGGUUGGUCGGCGACGGCGAUUUCUCCGUCGCCGCCACUCUCUUCUCACUUCAUCUGCUCCUCAGUAUCAGGUAUAAUUUACUAUUAAUUUAAUAUUUUAAUUCCUUUAAUUGUUUUACAGUUUACUUAAAUCGAAAAGUAAUUUAAUUCGAGGAUUUUCAGAUUGGCUGUAAGGAAUAUAAGGAUGAGGUAAGCACUGGAAAUGGAAAUGUUGAUGAAGAAGAAUGGGUUGAUUGUCCUCUUUGUGGGAAGAAGAUUCGAGGCGAAGAUCGCGUGGUUAACUCUCAUUUAGGUGCAUUUUUACUUUAAGAUUAUGUAGAGUUCCUUCUGAUUUGGAUGCUAAUAUUAGAUUAUUUGUUGAGCAUUUUAGGAUACUUUCGUCCAUAUGUAGCCUGAUAGUAGAGUAAAUGUGGUAAUCUAUCUGUUUUAUGCGUAAUACUAUUUGGAUUUUUGUUGAGCAUUUUAGGAUACUUUCGUCCAUAUGUAGUUUGAUAGUAGAGUAAAUGUAGUAAUCUUUAUGUUUUAUGUGUAUUAGAAUCAUGCUUUGGAUUGAAAAAUGUUUAAGUUGCUGGAGGAGGUCAGGUGUGGAUUUAGUGUAUUUGGUAUACAACAACAACAAAAUAGUGGCUAUUUUUUAUGGACUUUGUAAACGCUAGCUAUUUUUAAAUAACCAAUCCGAAAACUGGAUAUACCGUACUAUUUUUACGUUAGAUAGUGGUUAAAUGGGAAUAAUAACAUAACUGGUAAAGUUACUGUCAUGUGGCCUGAAGGGAUGAAAUUAAAAAAUAGCCAGAUUUAUAAGUGGUCAUUCAAAAAUAGCCACAGUUUCAAAAGUAAUAAAAAUUUAGUCACUUUUCAUAUAAAGAUAAAUUUGAACUAAAACACUGUUCAAAAUUUGGAAAAUACUCCAGUAUAAUAUACUGGAGUUCCAGCAUAAUAUAUUGGAGUUCCAAUAUAAUAUAUCGGUCCAACAUAAUAUGCUGGUAGUUUAUACACAUGUGCUCCAAUCUCCGAUAUAUUAUGCUGGAACUUUCCGCGUGUUGGAGUUCCAUCAUAAUAUGCUGGAAGUUCGUACACAAGUGCACUGAUCUCCAGUAUAUUAUGAUGGAACUUUCCGUGUUGCAGCAAAAUAGUGGUUAUUUUUUAAUGACUUUGCAAAUACUGGCUAUUUUUGAAUGAUCAGUCCGAAAAUUAGCUAUGCUAUUUUUACUACUAGAAGGUCACGAGUUUAAACCAUGGAACCAACUUUGAUCUGGCCUUUUUCUGGACCCGCGCAUAGUAAUUGAAGAUUUGAUUGCCUGACGUUCAAAGUCAAGUGGACAUAAAUAGGAGAAGAAAAAAGGAAAGAAAGACUAGUUUAGAUCUUGGAAGACAUUUCCAGUUUCAGAAAUGACAAUUCAUGGUCUCCCCCAUCAGAAAAUGAGAAAAAAGAGAGGAAGAAACGGCAAAAUUCCAGAGUCUGUCUGUCUCGGUCAAAAUAAGCAGCCUCUAUCAUGCUCAUAGUAUAUACAAAUAAAGAUUUAUUUUGACUCGUGGAGAUUCGAGAAUAAAAAUAACAAAUGUCUUCAAAUCUCCCUCAUUAAUCUAUUGUAAGGCCAGCAAAUGAAAUCUCCCUCAGGCUACUGAAAACUGAAAAGUUGGUGAUCUACAUGUGACAUCAAUUAUUAUGUAAACAUCACAAUUAACUUUCUAAAUCAGAAUAUUUAUUUUUAAUUAAUUUGUUAAAAAGAAUAAUAUAUUUUUAAAACUAAAAAUAAUUUAAUUAAAAUUUUUUAUUUUAUUUUUAAUGAUAAGCUCUUAUAGGCAUAUAUGUAAACAUCUAGGAUAUAAAUUUCAAAACUCUUAUAAACAAUAAAUUUUAAAAACUUGCUUUUCUCUUUUAAGUUUAAAUUUUCGAACAAACUAUGUCAUAUACAUUGAAAUUAAAGGCCUAUAUUCUUUUAGAGCAUGAAUGGUCCACCCACUUUUGACUUUGGCAGUGCGUAAAUUUUAUAAAAUCCUAGUACCAUAAAGUGUUUCAAUUGACACUUUUACUAACACUUCAUGAUUAACAGGUGCGCCAAUCAGAAAAUUACAGUAAAUCUUAUUUUUUUGUUUUUACUUUCCAAAUUAGACUUCUGAAGAUUAUUUUUUCCGGGUAAAUGUCCAAUUUAUUUUUUCAUUUUGGUUCAAAAUAAGUGUCUAGUUAUGUAAUCAAGAAAGAAUUCAAUUUGUUUUUACAAAAUAAUUACCUUGUACAUAUUCCUAAAAGUAGGGUUGUGCAUUUGAUUUAUCGAUUCAAUUUUGACCCUUAUCGAUAAUUACUUAUUGAUUAUCGAUUUGUACAUAUGCUUAUCGUUAUCGUUUCAAUAAGGUCUUGAUUUUUUCGAUUUCAAUUUAUUGAUUUUUGGGGCUUAUCGAUUCGAUUAUUGAUUAUACCAAUAAGAAAAUUUGCGGGAUUCCACAGAAAAUAUAUCGCUACAAACACGUCUAACUAAUAUGGAUAAAAAGAAGCUAAAAUAAGAGUAGCACCGUUUAUAAUAUAAAAAUUGUGUCAACAAGCACAUGCAACGAAAUUAAAGUAAGGGAUCAAAUAUAUGCCACCAACACUCCAAUUAUAUAAAAAAAUAAAAUAUAUUAUCACGACUAAUUCUAUUUUCCAUUAAUUUGAACUUCAUUCGCUUGAACUUUAAAUAUGAUCAUUUCUUAAAUGUGGUAGAGGAAAUAAUAUGGUUAGGAACUUAGAAUAAAGGAAAGGGUAUUAUAAAAUAAGGAUAACAAAAAAAAUUUUUUUUUAAGAAAAUAAAAAAAAUUAUUAGUGUAUCUUAUCGGUUUAUCGAUAAACCGAUAAGCCGAAAAGGAUAAAAUCGAAGUCGAAAUCGAUAAUUCGAUAAGUAAAAUUUUGAAAUCGAAAUCGAUAAGUCGAUAAACCGUUAUCGAUAAACCGAUAAGAAAUAAUCAAUUCGAUUUAUCGAUAAACAGAUUUGAAUGUACUCCAACCUAAAAAGUUUUCUUACUUACAUUAAAUAUUUAAUUAGGAAUAAUUUAGUCAUAAUAGGUAUUUUUGUGUAGGAUUUAGUAUAGGACUGUUAAAAGUAAAUUGGAGCAACUAUGUGAAAAAGUGUAAAAUGGAGAAAGGGGUUUAAAAGUUGUUGGUCGGAAGUAUUAAAAAGACGUAGCAACAAUGAGAGUCGUACAAACGACGGCGGCUCUAUAGAUCGUAUAAUUGCAUAAUUCAUAUGCGAGUCAAAAAAAGUGGUAGGUGAAGGGCAUCUCUAUAAUAACUAUAUAUUAUGAUGUAAAAUUAUAGUAUAUUGUAGUAUCUACAAAAAUCCUUUAAAAAUCACCGAAAAUUUCGUUUCGCGUUUUGCCUCUCUUUUGCUCCUUGUACUCUGUUUUUGCUUUUUUCUUUUUGUCUCUCACAAUUUUCUUCAGGUUUGAUCCAACCCCUUUUCAAUACUUAAAAAGUUGGUUUCUUGUCGCUAUUCUGCUUAAUUUCUGUGUCUAAGUUUGGUGAAUUAUUACUUCUUCUCAUAAUUUGAUAAUUCGAUCUGCUUAGUUCAUUGCUUGCUUAAUCAGUUCUAGUUUGUUGAUCGUUCUUGUGUCUAAUUCUGGUUUAAUUUUGCUCAUAUUAUCACCAACUGCUUUUCACUGUAUGCUCAUUUGGUCAUCUUUCUUGGAUCCUUCGCCUUCUUUCUGAAUAAUUGUAGUCAAAAUUAGCAAAGUUGAUUACUUUUUGCAGCUAUAUCAAAUCUUGUUAACUUCUCAUUUCAGAAUCAAAAAGCUUGCAUGUUAGUGUUCGAUCUAUUACUGUUGUUUUGAUCACUAACUCACAGGGAUCACAUGUUAUAUGGCAGUGUUUGAUUGACUGAUUAUUGGUUUAUAGAUCAGAAUUCACAAGGUUGAAGUGAUCAUACUUGGCUGAAUUGAGUAUUGUCUUCUUUGUGAAUACUACUAGUCAAAAUUAGCAAAGCUGAUUAGUUUGUCCAGUAGUAUCAAUUCUUCUUAACUUCCCAUUUUUUCAGAAUCUUUCAUGUUACUGUAUCGAAUGAAUACUGUUAUUUUUAUCACAAAUUUGCAAAGUUGUUUUCUUUUUGCAUCCAUAUCAAAUCUUGUUAACUAGCCACUUUGCCAAAUCAUUCAUGUUAGUGUUUGAUGGACUGAAUACUGUUGUUUUAAUCACAACUCACAAGGUUCAGAUGUUAUAUGUCAGUGCUUGAUUGACUGAUUAUUGAUUUAUAGAUCAGAAAUCGCAAGGUUGAAGUGAUCAUACUUGGCUGAAUUGAGUUCAAGCUGGUCGUGGGCCUUGAAGAUGGCAGCAUCUUGGUGCAUUGAAAAAAGAGGUUCUCUUCGGCUCGACUCUUUUAGAGAGAAUGAUAAUAUUCCUGAAACCGGGUGUCUUUCCAUUAUUGUUCUUGGCGCUUCUGGUGAUCUUGCCAAGAAGAAAACUUUUCCUGCGCUCUUCAACCUCUACCGACAGGUGCAAUUCACAUCUCAUUACUUUUAUUCUGUACUAGAUUGACAUUUGGUGUUUGUUCUUUGUGGUAAUCUGAUAGAUCCAUUUUGAACUUCAUUCGUCUAUUGUGACAAUGAUAUAUCUAUGACCUAAUCAUAAAACAAAAUCUAACUAAUCAUACCUAGUUAUACUUCUAGUUAAACAGUCAUAUGGAGCUCAUUCAGGCAAUAUGCUAACCUUUAGCAUUGGGCUGGGCACUCUCAGGGGUUCCUGCAAUCCAAUGAAGUUCACAUUUUUGGCUAUGCAAGGACCAAAAUUUCUGACAACGACUUGAGAAGCCGUAUCCGUGGGUGAGUGUGAUAUAUGUUGCAUUUUUCCUGUCUCCAUUUCGUGAUGAAGUAUGUUGUUGUUCACCUUGUCUCUAUUGAUGACUUGAGAAGCCGUAUCCGUGGGUGAGUGCGAUAUCUAUUGCAUUUUUCCGGUCUCCAUUUUGUGAUGAAGUAUGUUUUUGUCCACCUUGUCUCUAUUGAUGUCAAUGUUCAGAUACUUUUUGUCUUAGUCUCCACAAUAUGGGAAAGCCAGGAUGUACCACAGCUUUGAAUUAUUCUUUUAUUUUUAUUUUUGAAAAUACGGUUUCAAGCUCAUCUGUUCUUCUGUGGGAUGGUUCUUUCCCACCACGUGUCCCCUACACUCUCCCAAAAAGAAAGAUCUUUUCGUUAAAGUUUAGCUACUUUUCUCUCCUUGAGCCGAGUGUCUGUCGGAAACAACCUUUCUCUCUUUAUAAGAUAGGGGUAAGGUCUGCAUACACCCUACCCUCCGCAAACCAUACUUAUGGGAUUACACUGGGUUUGUUGUUGUUGUUGUUAGCUUCUUUUCUAAUUAGAGUAUUCUUCUACUUGUAUAGUUUCACUUUACUGCAGUACAUGUUUCUUGCAAACAUGGGGAGAGUUCCUGGGGUUUAACGACCUUCUCUGACUGCAGGUAUCUUUCUAAGGGGAAAGAAUAUCAAGAAGAAGUAUCGGAGUUUCUGCAACUGGUGAGUGGAAAGAUUCUUCAUAUUCUAUUCACCAUUUAACUGAUGUGCAAUUAGCUUACCCGCUACUGUUCUUUCAGAUUAAAUACGUCAGUGGCUCUUAUGAUUCUGGGGAGGGCUUUAGUUUACUGGACAAGGCGAUAGCUGAGCACGAAAUCGCAAAAAAUAGCACGGAAGGAUCAUCCAGAAGACUCUUCUACUUUGCUCUUCCUCCAUCAGUAUAUCCCUCUGUUUGCAGGAUGAUAAAAAACUAUUGUAUGAACAAAUGUAUGUAUUUCUUCUCAUAAUGAUUAACUUGACUGAUUACUUACUAAUGCAAUUAUCAUUCUUUUGGUCUUUCAACACUAGGCUUCGAAGAUGAAUUUAAACAUUUAUGCGUGGUUAUAUUGGAUAUAUGCUACUAUCCUAAUAUAAAUAAAAAUUACGAAUAUGUGUUACUGUUUCCUUACCUUCCUUUCUGGUUGUCAUUGUCUUUUAUAAAUAUUGUCCCUUUUAAGUUGAAUAGUUGUCAUAAAAAUAAAUGAUAGAUUGUACAUUCUUUAAACAGGAGGAUCAAAUUUAGUGCUAUUGUCAUCUAUAUUUUGUAGAAGUAAACUGUAAUGAAUAAACUUGAGUUGUUCAAGAAAAGAAAAAUCUCCUUUUUAACGAACAAAUAAUUCUUUUUUGGUGCAAAUUGGUAAACCAUUGUGUUAAGUUUUCAUUAGUUUGGGAUGUUUUCUAAUGUAUAGUUAACAACUUUACUGUUCUGUUGAAUUUUUACAUUCUAAUUUUGAUUUAUGAAGAAAAAAAUUGCCAGCUAACCUUAUGGCUUGUGUAAGAUGUCCUCAAUUCAUGGUACUUGGUCAGAUUGAGUGCAAAUAAUUAGCUGUUUUCAUUUUUGCUUGCGAUGCUUUUGGAUACUCAACAGAAAAUGUUAAAGAUUUUCUUGCACUAUGCAGCUGAUCUUGGUGGUUGGACUCGCAUUGUUGUUGAGAAGCCCUUUGGCAAGGAUUUAGCUUCAGCUGAGCAACUAAGUUCCCAGAUAGGAGAACUAUUUGAUGAACCCCAAAUUUACCGGAUUGACCAUUAUUUGGGGAAGGAGUUGGUUCAGAAUUUGGUACUUUCUAAAACAAAUAUUUUGUUGAUUAUGAAUAAUGAGUAUGUGCAUUUAUCUCAUACUGUAUGAAAACAAAUGCAGUUGGUGCUGCGUUUUGCAAAUCGCUUCUUUUUGCCGCUCUGGAAUCGUGACAACAUUGAUAAUAUACAGGUAUAUUUCUCCCUUUUAAGAUACAUGUGCACAAUACUAAUUUCUUAUAAUAUAAACUAUAAAGAAGAUUUAGUGGAGUAUAAUAUUUGAAAUCAUUACAUGCCUCUCGCACUUCGUAGUGAGGGAGUAAUUUGUUAUCUAGAGUGGAUUCCGAAUCGGGUGGUUAAAUUGUGUUUUUACUAUCUGAUGUUUGGAACAAAGUAAGAAGCAACACGAUGAGCCAUUACAAAAGCUAAGAUCAUGAAGGGAAAUCUCAUUAGUCAAUAUUAGAUAGAUAUUGAUAUCAGUUAACUUAUCAACUACCACAGUAGCUUCCUUUUGUAGGAAACUCAGUAGUCAAUAUUAGGUAGAUAUUGAUAUCAGUUAACUUACCAACUACCAAAGUAGUUCCUUUUGUCCUUUCUGUUUCUCGUCCCCACGUGGUUUCUGAGUUUCUUAGUUGCAUGUCCGUCGCCUCUGAGUGGUCACUUUGUGUGUCCAUUUUUGCAGAUUGUCUUUAGGGAGGACUUUGGAACUGAAGGCCGCGGUGGAUAUUUUGAUGAAUAUGGGUAUGCCUAUGUCUCCUGAGAACUUCCAUUUAUUUUCUCUGAGCACCAGGCACCUUUUCUUACUGUUGGAUUUUGAAGAUAUUCUGUCUCCCUUUCUGAGUGCGAUUGCGUUAGACAAGAGGGGUUGCUAUGAUGGUAAGCAACCCCCACUUCCAACUGAGAGGUUGUGAGAUCGAGUCUCCCCAAGAGCAAGGUGGGAAGUUCUUGGAGGGAAGGAUGCCGGGGGUCUAUUUGGAAACAGCCUCUCUACCCAAGGGUAUGGGUAAGGUCUGCGUACACUACCCUCCCCAGACCCCACUAAGUGGGAUUAUACUGGGUUGUUGUUGUUGUUGUCUGUCUCCAAUGUAAUCCUUUGAAAUAUAAUAACAUUGAGUGCUAGAUGAUUGAUGACUAGAGUAGUUGUCGAUUGACCAUGAGUUCAUGUUAGAGAGUAGAAUGACCUAUACUGGAGGCAGAAAGAGAGCAGGAAUUCCAGGAUAAUAUGUCGAAUGAUGUCCUCAAACUUUAGUAAGUCAAUUGGCACACCGUUCAUAUGGGUUGUGUCAUGAUGUGGGUUACGAAGAUGUGCUACUAGUUGGUCUUUUGGAGAGUGUGUUUGAGGUUGAACAACAAAGUCAGCCAAAUCUAUGCUGUUGGGUAUAGACUAGCUCAAAAAUCUCCUCUUGUUUUUAGCAGGUUUAGUUAUUUUUAACACCACUUGGGAAGUGUUUCGGUAUUACCAAACAAAAUUUCCUCUGGUUUUUAGCAGGUUUAGUGAUUUUUAACGCCACUUGGGAAGUGUUUCGGUAUUACCAAAAUUAAGGCGUAUUCAACUUCCAGUUAAACUUGCUAUUCCGUUUUUCUUGAAAAUAGUGGCUUCUGCUCCCCUAACUUGAAGGAUCAGAUAUUGUUUUCGCAGAUGUUCCAAAAUGAAGCCUAUAAAUUUUCCUUCUCUGUACUUCAUUAAGCUUCAUUUUGAAAUUUUUUGUAAUAAAUAGCCUUGUAUUUUCUUCCAUUUUGCAGGAUUAUACGUGACAUUAUUCAGAAUCAUCUAUUGCAGGUGACCCAUAAAUAUUCCAUCUUUAAAGCUAAUAAGUGCUAUCUACUUUUUAUGUUUACUAUUAUUUUUAUUUUGUCUAAUAAUAUCGGCUUGAGAUGAGAUUAAAUGGAGUAACAUGAUCAGUGAGGGUUCGACUCCCAACUUGUUUGGGUCUUUGGGAUUGAGGCUUAGUAGUUGUUGAAUGUCCAAAUCAUCAUCAUACCUUGUUAGUUAGAAACUUAGAGUUUGAGGUUUACUAUACUUCAUGCGUUUUCUCCUGGAAGUACAUUACAAGAAGCCAAUUCUUGAUUAUGUCUCUGGAUUUUGGUAUAACCAAUGCCUGCACACACAUAUACAUUCAGAUCUGGAAAAUCCAUCACCAUAUUAAACUUUUGAUAUAUGCAAUUAUUUCCUUGCGUAAGCUUGUCCUUGUAUUCAUUCAAAACAUUGGUGGUGGGGGGCAAUGUCGGAGGCAGGAUUUCCGCCAAGGGGGUUCAAGAAAGAACCGUAAGCUUCUCCUUGUAUUCAUUCAAAACAUUGGUGGUGGGGGCAAAGGCGGAGGCAGGAUUUCUGCCAAGGGGGUUCAAAAAAUAAAAGUUAAAAAUUAAAAGAGACUGUGGCCAAUGGAAUUGAACCGACGACCUCACAAAGGUUUUGAACAUCCCGACCACUGAGCUAUGCUUUAGAGCUGCGUCAAGGGGAUUCAAAAUAUAAUAUAUAUAGGCAUGAAAGGGAUUUUGCACAUAUGUAAUUUUCCGGCGAAGGAGAACCC
RNAcentral lists this long non-coding RNA (77185 nucleotides) under Nicotiana benthamiana. Its description in RNAcentral is "long non-coding RNA (NBEN_LNC012491)". Lineage: Eukaryota; Viridiplantae; Streptophyta; Magnoliopsida; Solanales; Solanaceae. The record is from RNAcentral.